This 66435-nucleotide long non-coding RNA is filed under the name Setaria viridis. RNAcentral describes it as "long non-coding RNA (SVIR_LNC002896)". Lineage: Eukaryota; Viridiplantae; Streptophyta; Magnoliopsida; Poales; Poaceae. The record is from RNAcentral.
UAUCAUGACAUGAACAUCCAGGAACGCUUACUCAAUGUCGACGAACUAGUGCUCCGCCGGAUCCAGUCCACCAAGGACAUGCACAAGCUGUCGGCCCCAUAGGAGGAGCCCUUCAUCGUUAAAGAAGUCAUCCAACCCAGCACUUACCGGCUGCAGUGGGCGGACGGCUCAAGCGUCCCCAACCCAUGGAACAUCCAACACCUGCGGUGCUUCUACCCCUAAGACCUAAAAGCUAUGUACUCUUUUUACAUUUUGCAUUGAAUAAAUAAAACCCCAGAGGUUCCUUGUGUACCUACCACCUUCUCGCUUCCUUACCCGAGCCCUUACCGGGGGUUGUUUCGACCUGAUCGACGGACCAUACCCUUGCCAUUUUGCUCAGGGGCUUCCCCCGUUAUGUGCCGACCUUCGUGUCUCACCCCUUCUCCUUCCCCUCCCACGGCAAAUAUGACUAACUCAUGUGGACGGUGUCCUAGCUCGUGAAACCCAGACAACUUUGCACCUGCCCCCUCUACAAGCUCGAGAUCCACUCUCAGCAGAGUGCUGGCCAAACAAGGUUGGGCACUUAGCGGCUAUAGGUCUAAUCCACUUGAUGUCCUGUCAUAUACAAUAAAGGAGGGUGGAUGCUUUCCAUUUUCACAAGUCAUCUAUUUACAUAAUUAUCCAUAACCUGGAACAAAUUGAUACACCACAAGUUCUGUUUUAUAGGUCCAGCUCCUUAACAACAUUCUCCACCACACCAUUAAACUCCUUGGCCAGUUCCGGGAGUUUCCUCAUGUCAAAGUCCACUACGACCCCUGCACCAGCACACUCUAGAGGAAUCCGUGGGAAGUGCAUCUUUAGUACCGCCAAGACAUUCUUGGUGCACUCCAUCACGGUUUCCUUUAGCAAUCCUUUUAGUUGGCCAGGCGCACUCUUAAGGUGAUCGAGAAGUGGCAUCGGCCCGGCUGGGUCAGCUUCCAGUUGGACCAUGUCCAUCACAUAGCCGGCCGCCCUGCGCAGACCUUCCAGCUCCACCUCCAGCCCUGCAAUCACCAAUUGGUCACGCUUAAGACUUUGCAUUGCGGUGACUAAGCAUUGGUCAGUGUCCUUAUGCAAGCCAACCUCAUAAGUCAGUUUCUACGACACUGCAUACUCAUAGUGAACUACCACAUCGUGAUCUUGCUGGAGCUGGGCGUUGGCCGCCUCGCACUCCUUGAGGUCCUGGCUGAGCCUCUGCUCCCUUGCAUCAGCAUCUGCCCAUCAGAAUCAACACACAUAAGCACCAGGAGUUCAGGAUUAGAACCAAGCCAGCAGGUUGGAGCAACAUACCUUUUAACAGUGCAUCGAGGUCACCCUGGAUUUCCUUGGUUAUCUGUUUAUGUUCGGCAAGCUCUCGGUCCUUCUGCUUGAGCAGCUUCACGGCGUCCUCCUUGGCCCUCUUGAGGUCGGCCUCAAGCUGCUGUGCCUUAAGACUGUUGAAGCAUCCCCACAUCAUCAGAGACUAAAUAUGAUACAAAUAUCAGUUCCAGGAGGCUGAUAACACAUUUAUUCAAUAGAUAGUUCAAAUACCGUACAACUCCCAAGGGAGUGGGCGCGAAAGCCACGCCGAAAUGAUGAGCAAAUAAAUCACAGCAGCGAGUCAAGCUAUUGUCAAGCGAUAGCACUCAGGACUACACGGCAGUGGAAGCACUCUGCAAAGGCCAACACCACAGGUAGCGUUGGGUGCGGAAGCGACCUCCUACUCAAAUUCCUCGGCAACGAAGUCUGGGUCUUCCUCUGUAGCAACAAACAAGAGUGAGUACAAAAGUACUCAACAAGUCCAACCCCAUCCAUGGAGGGGGAUACAAUCAAGAAUAUGCUCAAGAUAACAAGGAUAAGGCUAAGGUUUAUUUUUGCCAUAAAGCUAGGUUUUUCCACACAUGCAGGGGUUCCUUUUCAAAGAGAUUUUCACAAAACAUUUUCUUUAUUACUCGAAUCUAUAAGAGGGGUUGAUCUUACACAAAGGAUCCAAUUUUUAAUGCUACUGGACUCCCCGUCCACAGUAGCUCACGGCGCGACUGCCGGACACCUUCCAAAAUUCAACUCACACCAUGGAAAGCAUCCAUCACCCAAACACUAGUUAUGUGUGCAAGCCGUAACUCGUCCAAUACUGUGGACACAGCUAUCCGGAUAGGUUCUAACUCUGCAGAGGUUGUACACUUUACCUAUAAGUAGGGUACCGCAGCACGAUCACCUUUGUGUUGGUGCAGAUCCUAUCAAAGCCAUUACCCACCUUAGCUAAGAAUGACUAGCCAACAUGGAAGCAACCAAGGGGUUAAUGACCUUCCAACGAUGUCUUAACCGGGAUUUAAGUUCACAAAGUUUUUAGUCCUUCUCCAUGGUCUCCCAUUGCUCACCAGCUCUCUUGAUGACUAAUAGACCAGCUAGUGGGAUUUAUGCUAAGCCGCCGCCCACACAACGGUCGAGUGGUUGCAUGAUAGUGGGUUAGGCAAUAUGGCACAUCACUCGGUCCUUAAAUGUGACAAGAUGGAUAUCUCCCAACCUUUCUCAACCAUAAAGGUAUGAGCCCAACCUACUGGCAUUUCACACAAGAAACACCCAUCCAUCUCAUCUAAGAAUUUCCUUUCUUUAUUUCCGAAAAUCCAUUUUCUCAUUUGAAAACACUCACACAUUUAUCCUUUAAAUAAACUAUUGUGGUCAUGAUUGAAUUGAGUAACAAGGUCCGAAGCAUUCUAGCAGUAAUUAUCAUCCAAACAGAGCAAAUCAUAUUUAGAGAUAAUUAUAGGACAAAUAAGAAAUGUUCAUAAGAAUCAAGGGAUGGCUAUCCAACCGUAUUUCAGCAGUAAAACAAUAUACAAUUUUGUAAAAUAGGCCAAUAGGUUGUGUUUGAAAACUAGGAAUAAAUAUGCAUCAAAGGGUGAGAUUGGAGUUGCCGUCCUCAAAGCCUUCCGGGGGUUCUUGCUCACGGUGCUGGUCCUCGGGCCUGGGCUCACGGUCAAACUCUUCCUCAGGUACUCCACGACCUAGGGCACACACAAUCGAGCACACAAUAAAUAAAAGAAAAUAAGAUUUUACCCGUUGAGCUUCGAACAGAGAACGCGAACGAAAAGUAGAAGGAAUGAGUAUUUCCAUGAAAUUUGGAUAUGACUUGGCGGAAGUAUAUUGGAGGAUGACGUGGUCGAAUUUGGGAUUAAUUGGAGGAAGUUUGGCGCAUGAAAUGAUGAGAUAACCGUGUAUUUAGGGGUCAAAACAAGGCUUUAGGACUAAACUGCGAGAAACCAGGGACCUAUUUGUAAAUACUUUUGGGAGGCGGAGGGGUUGAUCUAUGGAAAGAGUAUGAGAGAGGUGGGAGGGUUAUUUCGUGAAUAGAGAGAAGUAGGAGGUUACAUCGAAAUGGGGGGGGGGUUCUUCUUCCUCCUUUGAACCGUGACUUGGAGAGGAGAGAGGAGGGGAAAUCCGGUGGGGGCGGCCGGCCAUGGCUCGCCGGCAGCGAGCUUGGGCGGCGGGGGAAGGUGGAGGAGGCCGUGGGGUCUCCAUUUUGCCCCUUACCUUGGGGAUUUGGUUGUUGGGAAGGGGCGGCCGGCGGAGGAUAGGAGGCGGUGGCGGUUAGGCGUAGGGGGAAGGCGGGCUGCUCGGUGAGGUGAUGGUGGGGCGACGAGGCAAGGCCAGGGCUCUGGCAGCUUUUAUAGGUGGCGAGGAAGGGAGCUGCCGGUGGGGGCCUGGACGGGGCGGGCGUCGUCGCGGCCGGCGCAAGGCGGGGCUAGCGCGGUGGUGGAGCGGGGGCCGGAGGCACGGCCGGGCAGGCGCGGUAGCAGAGCGGGGGCUGAUGGGGGACAAGCCGGCAGCACGGUCGUCGAGGCGCGGCCGGCCGGGGUCGGGGAUGCCGUGCCAGGAAGCAGGGGGCACCGGGCAUGGGGCCCUGCGUGAGAGGCGAGAGAAAAAAAAGGGGGGCGUAGGGGCGCAGGCGCGGGCGAUGGGCCCCACACGCCGGUGGUGAGGAGAGAAGGGAGGGGGGCCGGCCAGAGGAAGUGGCGCUAGGAGGGGGGCUAGCUUGGAGGGUGGCAUGCGUGACCAGCCAGGGAAGAAGGUAGGAGAAGAAAGAAGAAAGAAGAAGAAGGAAGAAGAAAGAAGAAAGAGAAGGAAGAAAAAGAAAAGAGAAAACAAGGAAAUAGGAGAGAGAGAGAAAAAAGAAAGGGAGAGUCAGCGGUGAUUGCGGAAUGCGGUCGGAGCAUGCGCGGCGGUCUGUCGACCGGCAGGCGGCGAAAUUUACGGAGAGGAUAAAAGGAUGGUUGUCGGCUUCGGGUGCCGGGAUGGCGAAAUCGCCGGGAUGAUUUAGAUUUUCGGGUGCUCAACAGUAAAAAGAUUUUGGAAACAAUUUUUAGCGGGUGAUUUGAGUUGGCAUAUUUUACGGGUGUUACAACGGUAUUCCUCGGCUCGCUAAAUCGUGUCUACCUUCUUGUGCGCACGCACGGCUAGAUUCUGCCCACACACUAAACUCAGCACACUGGAAAGAAAUGAAACCUCAAAUGCAGAUCUCCAAUGGUAGUUGGCAUACUUACAUAUAACAGUGUAGAGACCUUGGAAGACGUCUGCUGUAGCUCAGCAAGGUCCUUCUUGUCUUCCAACACGUCCCCAACAAGGCUAGUCCCGAAGAAGUCCAAGGUGUCUAGACUAUCUCCUUCUUGCAUAUCCACGUCGGCAUCCUCGGCGAACCUCUCUAGCAGUGGAUCAUCCCUGGGCAGCUCCUCCAGGUGGGAUGUAGCUCCAGCUCUUUCACCAGUCACUUCUGUAGCCCCGGAGCUGGCUGCAGUAGCGUGCAUAGCAACCGCACUUGAAGCCGCAGCAUCCUCGACCAUGCCCUACUUUGGCACCGGAACUUGCACUGCUUCUCCUCCCACCCGACGAUCUUGGUCCUCACCGGCCUCUGGAGGUGAGGAGUGCUGAAGGAUGUGGCCGCUCGCUCCUUCAGCAUGACACAAACCAACAGUCGGCUGUGUACCAAACUCAUCAUCUAGCACGUUUUUCCUGUAUUGUUGGUGCAAAAGGAAAUAUGAGAAAGACAUGCAGCAAAAGAAUCAUGAGGUGGAUAAUAUAACUAGAUUACACUUACAUGGUGCUCUAUUUCACUCAAAACUUGGGACAAAAGGGUGGUGGCAGCACCAACAUGUCUUCGCUUGGUGUCCCUCCUCCCCCCUCCCCCGAACCUCCGCCUUCAGCUUCUCCUUGAUUCGCUCUGCAUCGGCCAUGGUCAUCUCAAGGAGCUCGGCCUUCAUCUUCUUAGCGACCGGGCUCGGCAAGUCGGACUCCUCGUCCACUUUGCUGGUCGAUCCGUUCGUGGGGGCAGUGCUCGAUGCAGUCUUUUCCUUCCUCCCGGCCACUUUUUUCCUCUUACUGCUCAGCUUCUGAGAAUUAGAGGCGGGAAGUUUCCUCACGGCCUGCCAUGUCCGGCAUCCAAUUGGCACGGAGUCCUCAGCCCUGCUGCCCUCGUUUGGUGCAUCCUCAUCCGACCCUUCAAUGGAGGAGUCCGACUCCCAAUCAAGGGCAACAGGCAGCUGGUCAGACUCGGUGGUCGGGUGGAUCUUGGGACGCUGCUGGUAGGCUCCUUCGGGAAGCGAUGCCAUACAGAAGAACUCAAACUCACGGCUUUGGCCAAUCAACAAGAUCGGUCAGAGAAAAUGCAAAAGCAAAGUAGGAAAGCCAAAUGAUGUAAUUAAGAUCUUACUGUGUCCACCAGCCUCUUGAGGGAGUACGUCUUGGGGUAGCACUUGUUCUUGAUGACACCACCGAAGAACUCACAUACAAGGUUGGAAACUUCUUCCUUCGACACCUUUCGCUGCACCUCUCGGGUCGGAACCAGUAGCCCUGAGUACUCAUACGCCGGGUGGACCCUGUCCUUGAUCGGCUGCUUCAGCCGCCGACAAAAGUUGAUGCUGACAGCCCCGACUGUGAUCCCACGACCUUUUAGGUUGGCAAUUUCCUUCAACAGCUGCUUCACCUAAACCAUUUCCGCAGAGGUCAACUGGUUUGACCACUCCGGCAUUGUCAAGGGUGCAUAUCCAAGGUGGGAUGACAGCUUGGGCUUCUGAUUGUCGAUAAGGAACCAUUCCUUGUGCCACCCCUUGUUCGAGUCCUUGAGCUUCAGCGAAAAUCCACAACCACAGAUCAAUCUCGACUUCUCCUUGGUCAACACAAUUUUCAAUUGGUAGAGAUAUUUCCACAGAUUGAAAUGGGGAGGAAUGCUGAGGAAAGCUUCGCAAAGGUGGAUAAAAACUGCGAUCUCCAAAAUAGAGUUAGGGUUGAGAUGCACUAACUUGAUCUUGUAGUACUUUAGCAACCCACAGAAGAAAUCUCCCAUCGGGAUCCCAAAUCCACGCUUGAAGAACACCGCGAAGACAACAGCCUCUGUCCUGUCCUCAGUAGGGAAGUCUUGGCCGGCGGUCACCUUCCACUCCAGCAGCAUGUUGGGCCCAAGGAGACCCCGGUUGACUAGGGCCUAGAUUCGCUCCUCGGUCAUCACGGACUUCACCCAAUAGGUGGAAGGGUCCAGUGCUUGCUCCACCGCUAUCACUUUAGUCUCUACCCCUCGUGAUGCAGAUCUAAUGUGGGCGGGUCUCUUGGUUUGCAUACAGCGGGGAUAGGCGGCGCAGAGGCGGUGGCUACAACCUUCGAGUGGAGGAGUGGUGGAUGCGGCGGCAUGACUUAGGGCUCUCAGGCGCGAUGAUGAUAGCAUUGGUGGUGGCGGUGCUUGACGGUGAGUGUGGGGCAAUGAAAAUGAAAAUGCGCCUCUUCGGCUUUUGAAGGCAUUAACGGCGUAAACCUAGCACCGGAAUCCGCGGAUCCCCCAUUACGACACAUGCGAUGGAUGGAAGCCACGGGUUUUCUGUUAAAUCUCACGGCGUACCUCCGUGGCUCCGCCGGUCCUCGUGCUCGGGGGUUGGUCGCCUAUCUCAGGUCAGCGUGCCUCCGUGGCUCCGCUAGUCCUAGUGCUCGGGAGAUGGGCACCUAUCUUAGGUUAGCGUGCCUCCGUGGCUCCGCCAGUCCUCGAGCUUGGGGGCUGGGCACCUAUCUCAAGUCGGCGUGCCUCCGUGGCUCCGCUAAUCCUCACGCUCGGGGACUGGGUGCCUAUCUCAGGUCGGCGUGCCUCCGUGGCUCUGCCAGUCCUCACGCUCGAGGGCUGGGCACCUAUGUCAGGUUAGCGUGCCUCAGUGGCCUCGCUAGUCCUCGCAUUUGGGGGCUGGACGCCUAUCUCAGGUCAGCGUGCCAUCUUGGCUCCGCCAGUCCUCGCGCUCCGGGGUUGGGCGCCUAACUUAGGCCAACAUGCCGCCUUGGCUCCGCCAGUCCUCACGCUCGCGGGCUGGGCGCCUAUUUCAGGUUAUCGUACCUCCUUGGCUCUGCCAGUCCUCGCGCUCGGGGGCUGGGCGCCUAUCUCAGGUUGGCGUGCCUCCUUGGCUCCGCUAGUCCUUGUGCUUGGGGGCUAGUCACCUAUGUCAGGUCGGCGUGCCUUUGUAGCUCCACCCUUCCUCAUGCUCAGGGGUUGGGCGUCUAUCUUAGGUUGGCAUGCCUCGCGCUUGGGGGUUGGGCGCCUAUCUCAGGUCGGCGUGCCUCCUUGGCUCCGCUAGCCCUCGUGAUCGAGGGCUGGGCGCCUAUGUCAGGUCGGCAUGCCUUUGUGGCUCCGUCAAUCCUCAUGCUUGGGGGCUGGGCACAUAUCUCUGGUUGGCAUGCCUCUUGGCUCCGCCAGUCCUCAUACUUGGGGGCUGGGUGUUAUAUUUGGAUUCGUUUUAUGACGGAAAUAAUACAUCAGAUUCUUAACCAUUGAACCGAUUACUUUAAUCGCUUCAAUGCUUGGGGGAUACUCCAUAUGGAGUGCGUCUUGCGACGUCCUCCAUGUGCUUUCCUUCGAUCUACAGGAUGUCAGACAUCCCGGAGCUUGGCAGUUGCAUAGCCAUGUGCAUUUGGUCAUACGCCUGUGGAAGCUUCGAUUUUUCUUCCUUUUUUGAGCACUGUGCAGCCUCUCCAUCACUAUGAUGACACCGCAAUUUCAGUCGAGUGCAUUACAAGCUUCGUUGCACAUCCGCCAAACUCCUGUUCGACUCCACAUCGCUCGGGGGCUUAAGGGAUAAAGGUACCCACGGGUCCCCACCGACCAAGAUACUCGUCGACUCUAACAGGUGGGCCUGCCCAACCAUGCCGUGUGGGCCAAGGCAUGAAGACAUGUGAAGCGCAAGCUAGGAGGCCGGGCGAAUCAAUUCAGCCUGGAUAUCAUGGGAUUCAUGUUGUAAACCGACUCAGAUUUAUUUCCUUGUAACAACUGAAUAGGAUUAGAUCCUAUUCGAUUUGUAACCCUAGGUCGUCAGCCUAUAUAAGGCGGUUAGGGACACCCCCUGAGGAUAGAGAACCCAACGCAUGUUAACUCUUCGCACCUGCAAUUAGCAAUACAACAAACUAGAACACAUGAUGUAGGGUAUUACUCUCCGGAGGUCCAAAUCUGUCUAAAUCUUGCACCCCUGUGUUACCAUUCGAGUUCUUCAUCUUACGAUCUUCCCCGUCUACAAAUCUACCACCUAGGUAACCCCUAGUGGACUGCCGAUCACUAAAUCCGAUACAACCAUAUUUGCGCACCAACAUUUAUCUUUUUUUUUGUUUCAACAGCAUGACCAUUACCUGUUGAUGAGAUUCGAUCUGAUUCACAAAAGAAAAAAGAGACAAAAAAAUAAAGAAAAUAAAUUUUAUUGACACUUGGGAUCCGAUGAUUCGUAAUCCAAUUUAGUACUCUCUCCGUUGCAAAUUGUUAGUUUAGCUUUUUAUUCUAAGUCAAAUUUAUAUAACUUCAAUCAAGUUUGUUUGAAAAUAUAUUAAUAUCUACAAUAUCAAAUGAAUACACUAUCAAGGUAUAUUUCAUGAUCUAUUUAGUGAACUUAGCUUGGUGUUGUAGAUAUUUGUAUAUUGUUCUAUAAACUUGCUCGAUCACUUAAUACAAAACUAAAACGACUUACAAUUUCAAACAAAGUGAGUAACAAGUUUUUGCUAGAUAAUAUACACCCAAAGAUGCAUCAUACAUUUUCUCCACAAGCGCACUGAAGUUUAUAAAUUUAGAUGAAUAUUUUAAAUUUGCACUAUGAUCAACAAAGAAUUGUGCCAGUCUUUGUCCCAUGUAGCCACUUCAGUGCCAUGCCAAAGCCAUAAUUUAUGAAUAAUAGUCUAAUACUAGUUGCAAUCUAGGUGUACAUGUAAUCCCAACUUUAUCAUCAAUUUAUAUUUUAUUUUACCUUCACUUUUUUGUAUAGCUACUAUGCUUUCUUCAUGAUAUAAAAAAUUCAAGUCUAGGGCUAUCAUAAUAGCAUUUUUCAGUUGCAAACAUAGCUCAACUUUGUUAGAAUUUUCACGAUGGAACCUGUGCAUAUACAUUUGGGUCUCCGACUCAGUACGAGUGCUCAUAUUUUUACUAAUUAUUAUUUUUUUAGUAGUUGGUGAUGUGCCUAUUGACAUCGGAACGCCUGUAUGACUUCGUCAAUCUCAAUAUAUAUUGGCUCAUAUUCUCGAAGGUGUUUAUAGAGGUAGUGUGUGUGGUUUUAUAAGGAUGAAUGUGUGUGUGUGCACUGUGAGCGUUUGGCUCAUAUUCUCGAAGCCCAUCUUAUCUCUUUUUUCCCAUUUUUACCAAGCUGUGUUUCUAUUUUUACUAUUUAUAUUAAAAGCUAAUGCGAAUUUAAAAAUUGAUAUCUUAUUGCAUACAAUGUGCAAACUUUAUGUUUAAAUCAUGUUAUCUUCUAGGGUGUCUUAGGGUAGUGCUGAUCGGUAAUUUAUAAAUGAACAUAUAUGUCUUUUUGUUAAUUAUUUCAUUAUGGGAAGGAUAGGUAAUUUAUAAAUACUAGUACAUAUAUUGCAAGGGAGAAAAAUAAAAAAAUAUCGCACUUCUCUUGGUGAUAGGACAUCUGCUGGUGCUUCUAAUGAUUUUUUGCAUCAAUGACAAAGAGGGGAGACUAGAUCCGCUUGGGCGACAGGGCGAGGGGAGACUCGGUGCAGCGGACAGGGAGACUCCAUUUGGUUGGUGACAGGGCAAGGGAGACUUAGCAUGGCUGUUGGUGGCUGUGAUGUUCCGUUCCUGUUAAGCCAGAUCACCAUGACAUUGAGUACCCGUUGCCCAUCCCUUUUUCAUGGCUUUCCCAAUAUGCUCCCUACCUUCGAUGUCUCCUUUCCGUGGCCCUACUUUCUGCGAGCUACGAGUUUUAUUUGAUCAAGUUUUUAAGAGAGGUGUGAUGUAUUCAAUGUUACCUAAAUCCUAAACGCUAAACAGCCGGCACCUACCAUUUAGCUCUUUAUUCAGACUAAACGAUCAAUUAAACGGGUUAAACGGUCAUUAAACAGGCUAAAUGGAUGAUUAAAUGGACAUGGAUAGACACUGUGCAGCAUGUAAAUAGGCUAAACGGCUGUGUACAUGAACACUGGAUGUAUUCGAUAAGAAAAUGUACUAAGAGUGGGGUUAGGAGUUUUGACUAUGGUAGUGCCUGAGCCCCACCUGUCAGUGGCACAUGACGGAUCAAAAGUCAAUGGACGGAAGAAGGGUAUGCUCUUUAGCCGUCUCAGCUCUCAAGGGUAACACUGAUCGGUAAUUUAUUGAUGAAUAUAUACGCCUUUUUGUUAGUUAUUGCAUAAUGGGAGUGAUAGGUUUAUAAAUAUGUAUGUAAUUUGAACAUAACUAUUUUUUUUAGUAAGAGCUGUGAGUAACUUUGUUUUUUCUUCAAAUGAGUACGCCUAGGCCUUAAGAGUAAAAGUGGGUCUCCUUCUGUUGCCAAUAAUUAAGAAAGAUAAUAGUACUCCUUUAAUUAUUAGAGACUUUAUUAGCUUAUUAGUAUACAACUUAUGACGAGAGGCAAAACAAUCAUGAAAAGUUACCCGAGGGCGCAUAUUGCUUAGUUUGUUAGAUUACUUUGAUGGAACUUGCAAAUUCGGUAUAAUUCUUCAAACUAUAUUCGUCUGGUUGUUAGUCGACUUAUCAAUAAAAAGAUAUUUACGGUUUCUUCGUCAGCCUCAAGACUUCGCAUUUUAGUAAACACUUCGCAUUUUAGUAAACUGUUGAAAUUAUAUGUGAACGUCCACGUGUACAACACUACAACUAUUUAAAAACAUUAUAAAAUUCUGACAAAUUUAAAAGGAAAGCCCCACGUAUAUUUGUUGGCUGCAGCUGAUACGGUUCGCAAAAUCUAGAGCACCGAGUGGUGACCGGAGAUUACCAAAUACUAGCAAUCAACCAUACGUGCUCCUGCCACCUCCUGAUGUGACUGCAGUGGAUGGAUUCCAGUGGGGUGCAGUGGUGCCCGGGACACAUCCCGUUCCCGGACCGCUUUGCGCGUACAUGUAUCUAUUCCAACCCAAUCUUAACCCGAUUCCUCUUUAAAAGCGUGCGUACAACGCAUCCCCCCGUCUCCAUUUCCCACACGCGUAACAAGUGUUGCGUGCCGGCACCCAGUGCCUGCCUAACUGUAGCUAACUAAUAGCUCUUCCACUGGGCGCCCUGAGGCUGCUUCUCCUCUGACGGAGCAGGAGGUGGGGGAGCAAUGGCGGCUGAGGAUGGGAGAGAGGAGAAGAGGGGCGCGGAAGCGGCGGUCGCGAGGAAGGCGAAGAAGCAGGGAGGGUUCAGGACUAUGCCCUUCAUCCUAGGUGAGUGAUUCACUCCUUCAAGUCCUCUGCUUACUCCAUAUGCUUUGAUCAAUUGAUCUGAUCUGUUCUGCUUAGAAUCCUGCUUUUACUCGACUGGAUUGUCCUUCAGAUUCUUCCUCUGUUUCUUGAGCUGGGUGCCUCUGCAAUUAAUUAGUCUCCAUUUUUCAUCGCCAAAAUUCAUAACCUGUUGUUGGGGGGAAAUCGUAACUGCUCAUCAGAAGAUAGCAUGGGAACUGAACUAAUAAAGAACGUUACCAAAAUCUCUCGUUGCAAUUUGCAAGUACUUUUCUUUUGAACUUUCAUUCCAAUACUGUCCCUGCAUGCACGCCACCUUUCGGUGCUGCAACGGGAACGGACGCUGCAUGUCUGAACACGCUGCUGGACGAUACCACAGAGCACGCCAGUCCACGCAUAUACGGCACUCCUCCUUUCGCACCAGUCCUUGUUGUUUUCCCUCUGGGUCAAACCAGUCUAUUGUGCUCGACCGACAUGGGCAACUAAAAAAUUGAUGUCUUUGGAUUUACGUCAGAUGAUUCAGCCAAGAACAGCAUCAAGGAUCUCCUUUAAGAGUAAUGAAAUUCUAAACUGCCAAACUGUAGCUAUCAGUGGCGGCGAUCAAUCAACCAUAGUGACCUUAUUGACCAUGUUUUGGCUAUCUUUUAGGUGAGUUGAGAACACCUUUUUAUUUAAUAAUUUAGGAAUCAGAACACCUUUAUAAUUAUCAAUUUAGGAACCUAUGUUGAUAGUAACAAUGUAAGGCUGAACUGCUGGUAAGUGUAUUAGUUUUUUUUAAAAAAAGUAAAGCUGAAGUAACAAUGUUUCUAUUGACACACAAGAAAAAUCCCUUGAUUUGCACAUGUCUCUACGUUUUGAGGUUUUUGUUUGAAUAAUUUCACUAUGGCAGUGUUGUGAAUAUUAUACUACUCCCACCACCGUUCUAAAUUAUAGGCCAUUUUGACUUUUGUAGAUUUAUAGACUUUGUUAUGCACUUUGAUAUACCCUAUGUCUAGAUGCAUAAUAAUAUUUAAUUAUGCAUCUAGAAAAGCUAAAUGACUUAUAAUUUAGGAUGGAGGGAGUAGCUUUGAAAGAAUGAGAGCCUUAAGCCUACAAUAUGAGUUCAGGACUUCAGGUCUUCAGAAAAAGCUGCAGUUUAUUGAUCAUAUCCAAAUGAAAAGAAUGUGAUCUUGUAUUUGUAGAGCUUGAGCGAAAGGGGGUCUCUAGUUGAAUUGGUUAGAUGGCCUCAGUAGCACUCCUCAGGUUCUAGAUUCGACUCCUCGUGGGAGCAAAUUUCAGGUUAGGUUUAAAAAUUAAAAAAAAUCCGGGAGCUGUUUUACCCCUCUCGGGUCGAGUUUUUAUUUGUAGAGCUUCAGGCGGGGGAUAUGCUAUUAAGGCCUGUUUGUUUCCACUAUUGGAGGAUCCAGCUUUUAAGUUCCAGCUUGUGAUCCAAAGUCCAAACAUACUAAUUAAGUAAUUAUGGUCCAGCUUUUACAAUCUACCAUGUUACCAACCCUAGAUUGUGCAAUCACACAAGCUACCUCAUCGUAGCUUUUACUAGCUUGUGAGGCAACAACCUGGGCUGGAUUCAAAACAGGCCCAAAAUUAGGCUUUAGAAAUAUAUGGGUGCAUAAAGAUACAGAAUCUCACCUGAAAAGGAGCUCAGAGUUUAUUAGGAUACACCAUUGAGCGGUUGAGCCUAUGUUAGGAGAUGUGAAGGUUCCUCUGGUUCCACUGCAACUUUCCCUAUUAAAAAUAAGGGCUCUUGUUUUCAGUUGCUUGAAAACCAAGCUUUUCCGUCAACGGAGCACCCUCUCUUCCAAAUAAACAUGGGUUAGAAUUACGGUGGAAAAAAUGAACUACUCUUCCCGCCAAUCCCUCCUAAUACCUAUGGAGUGGGGAGAAUUACGAAAUAUCCAAAUACAGACCUCGUAAGUUCAAAUCCACAGUAUGCUAGUACGAUUCUAUCAGCAGUACCAUCUUCAUCGAAUUUGAACUGACGUUUCCCGCCAUGCUUGUGCACGACGACACACAGCCAACGACUUCUGCGACCGGCUUGCCUCCGUGGGUUUCACCUCGAACCUCAUCACGUACCUCACCCUUCAGAUGCACCUGCCGCUCGUCCACGCCUCCAACAUCAUCACCAACUACAACGGCACGGCGAACCUCACCCCGCUCGUCGGCGGCCUCAUCGCCGACUCCUUCGCCGGCCGCUUCUGGACCAUCACGUUCGGCUCCUUCGUCUACCAGCUCGGCAUGGUCUGCCUCACCCUCUCCGCCGCGCUCCCCUCGCUGCAUCCGCCGCCCUGCGCCAAGCACGCCGCCGACUGCCAGCGCGCGUCCUCCUACCAGAUCGCCGUGCUCUACCUGUCGCUGCUCUGCACGUCCAUCGGCACCGGGGGCACGCGCCCCUGCACCGUGGCGUUCGGCGCCGACCAGCUCGAGCUGAACGCGCAAGGGCGCCGGGGCGCCAGGCCCAUGUGGAGCUUCUUCAACCUCUACUUCUUCACCGUCGAGCUCGCCAAGCUCACGGCCGUGACCGCCGUGGUGUACGUCCAGGAGAACGUCGGGUGGGGUUGGGGGCUCGGCGUGCCCACCAUCGCCAUGCUCGCCGCCGUGAUUGCCUUCGUGUCCGGGUACUCGCUCUACGUCAGGAUGCCGCCGGCGGGUAGCCCCAUGGUCCGUCUGGCGCAGGUCGCCACCGCCGCGUUCAAGAAGCGGAAAGCCACCGUGCCGGACCCGAGCCUCCUGUACGAGGACAAGGAGCUCGAUGCCGGCAUCUCCACCACCGGCCGCCUUCUUCACACCGACCAGCUAAAGUAAGUUGAAUAAAUUUGGACGAAGUGCUUCGGAAUUUGAGGUGCACGUACGAACUGACUUGUCGUUUCUCAAAUCUCAAUAGGUUCUUCGACAAGGCGGCUAUAGUGACGGACGGCGACGUGCUGCCGUCCGGCGAGCCGAAGCUGUGGCGGCUCUCGACGGUGCACCGUGUCGAGGAGCUCAAGUCGAUCAUCCGCAUCCUGCCGAUCUGCGCCGCCGGCAUCAUCCUGGUGACAUCGUCGUCGCACAACCACAGCUUCGCCAUUCAGCAGGCGCGCACCAUGGACCGCGACCUCACGCCGCACUUCAAGAUCCCGCCAGCGUCCAUGCUCAUCUUCACCAACCUCGCCAUGCUGCUGACACUGGCCUUCUACGACCGCGUGCUCGUCCGAGUGCUCCGCCGCUUCACCGGCCGCCCCAACGGCAUCACCCACCUCCAGCGAACGGGCGUCGGCUUGACCAUCGCCAUGCUGUCGAACGCGGUGGCCGCCGUCGUCGAGCGACAGCGCAGGUCCGUGGCUGCCGCAAGCGGGCUGCUCGACGAUCCCAAGGCCACCCUGCCGAUGAGCGUCUUCUGGCUGGUGCCGCAGUUCACCAUCCACGGCAUCGCCAACGCCUUCAUGGACGUCGGUCGGAUGGAGUUCCUGUACGACCAGGCGCCGGAGAGCAUGAGGAGCACGGCGGCGGCGCUCUACUGGCUGACCUUCUCGAUCGGGAGCUACCUCGGCACGCUGCUGGUGACCAUCGUGCACGCCAAGACGCGGCGGAGCGGGCAGUGGCUCCCGGACAACCUCAACCGAGGGAAGCUGGACAACUACUACUGGCUCGUCGUCUCUCUGGAGGUGGUCAACCUCGUCUACUUCUUCGUCUGCGUCAAGUACUACACCUUUAAGCCGUUGGAGACGGUCGGAGGAGAGGAGGAGGUCGAGCUCUACCAUGGCAGUGGCAAUGGCACCGAUGGCGCCAAGAAGCAGGGUGGAAGCUUCAAGUAGCUUGGUGGUUGCUUCGACCAUGAUCCCCAACUAGAAGACUUGUGCUGGGAUGAAAUAAUGGUAUUUAGAUAACCUUUUUGUCAUAUUACCAUAAUCUUACCGAUUCUAAGAACUUUACCAGUAGCACACUGUGUAAGGUAAUUGUUCGAGAAAUGCAGGAGUAUCUGUUUAUUCCCAGAUUUCUACGCUUGAUUUUGAUCUGUAACAUUAUACAUCACUAAUACAAGAGCAUGGAGAGUAAAGACCACUUUAGAAAGUCAGUGAAAUGAAAGAAAACCCUGCAAAAUAUAAAAUUCGAGGCAACUCAUUUCAUAUAUAAAAGAAGAAAAAUUAGGGGAUGAAACAAGAAUCUUUGGACUAUCGAUCCAACAAAAUUCAUAUAAAAAUAGAUAUGAAAUCACAUGGGAUAUUGAGCAGAUAGUAAUAUCCUAUCCAUCAAAAAAAGAAAUAAAAAUGAGAGGGGCUUCAGGUAUUUAAUCAGAAAAGACUGAAGUAAAAAAAUAAAUAGAGAAAAAGGAGUGGCUUAUAUUUAUUUUCAUGAUGCUAUGUUAUAACGUUAAACAUCACUUUGUGCUGUCGUAGUUGCCUAAAGUAGUACUGUUAUGUUUUUAAUUAUAGAGCAUUAACAUUAUGUUGCAACGGUGCAUUCGCACUUUUAAUCAUAGAUAGAGCUAGGAUUUUAGUUAAGGACAGCACACAAAUUACAUUUUUUUAGAAAAUGGAAAUAUAUCCAUCCUCUACCAUAAACAUACGCAGCCAAAUUCUCAGCUCAACAGCUGAUCAUAAAAAAAGAGAGAAAGAAUCCACAUGAAGAGAAAAUAAUCAUAAGCAAUGUCUAAUAUUACUUAUCCAUUCAUUGCUUUGCUCGUCGAAUGGACGGUAUUCCUUAUGUCCUCACGCUGCAUUGAUAAAUCAUAGUCAAUAUGUUCCCCGAGGUAACCUCUAAAGCAAUGUAGGAAGAUCACCCACGAGCAGCCGAGCAUGAACAGGGAAUGCUGAAACACCAUAUGGACAUCCAAGAUGACAUCUUCAGGAAGAACGUGACGCAAUGACGUCAUCAUCGCCAGCCCAAGUAUAGAGCUGGGUUUACACCUGGAGAUUCAAAACAUGGUCAUAUAACAGUGAAGUGAAAAUGAGAUCGCCUCCAAGGAGAAAGUGGCACCUGAAGGCGUCACCGACCAGCCUUUUGCCCAAACCUUCACCACGCCAUGCUAGCAGCAGUUGGGCAGAAAAGCACAAAAGUGCCUCACUGAGCUGCUGAUGGCGCCGAGCACGCCCACGAUUGCCAGCCAUAAUUAUCAAGAGCCAACCGCCGCCACCUCGACUCACGCCCGCCGUACUAGGGCCAAGGCCUCGACCAUGAUGCCAUGCCAAGCCCGCCAUGCCACCAGCCCGUCACACAUCUGACGAGGUCCAUGUAGGAGGGUGCCGGUCGCCAGAUCAGCUCGCAGUAGGCCAGCACAUGGAAUCCACCCCAUGGCUGAUGCCUCUGGAGUGCAAAUCUACACUUGAAGAUCCUGAAGGGGGAGGGGGAACUGGAAGGAGAGGCUUUGAGAGCCUCGCGCACUAUCUUGAGGCCUUGCCGUGCGUCACCAUUGGCGACUUGCUACCACGCCUGGCCAUUAAACGGAGUCGGAGAAAGGCCCGCCACAACCAUCCUCGCAGCUCGUCGGGCUUCUGACUUUCUGCUGUAGUGGCGGCUGAGUAAAAGCGAUGAUGGAGGACCGUGGCGGCAGGGAACGGGAGCGCCGCCCGUCGGCCCAUGUCGCCCCUGGAGCGACGUAGGGGCCUGAUCCGUUUCUUCAGUGCCCCAGCAUGCACAUUACAUAGUAGGAUAGAUAUUCUUCCUGAAUGUUACAAAAUGCUAUCAUGCUUUCAGAAAAAAUGCUACCAUGAUGGAACCCUCCCCCACAUAUACCUUCUGCCAGCCAAGGCCAAGGUCUUAUUUUAUCAUUGCCCAGCUCAUGAAUUGACUUAUGGUCUAAAUGAUAUGCAUUAAUUGCAAUCAUGAUAUAUCAGUUAAAACCAGCAUGCCAGGCGAUCAAAGGUCACAAAAAGACACCCAAGAAAAAUCCGGUCCGGCUGCUGCUGAAGAUGAAAGAAAGCUCAACAAAUGGCUACACAUGCUAAGAUUGCCCAUUUCAUCGCAGGCUUUAAAAUUUACAGAAUUUGGAGAACUCGAUCAAUGGACGUAGUGGUCAUCAAGCAGCAACCAACAUUACAUUCAGAUGCCAUUUUAUCUUGCUGCAGUGGAUGGAGAUCCUCAAUGGCGUCAUAUCAUAUCUCGACCGCUCGAGAGUAAUUGGGCGACCCUCGUGCCUCAAUGAUACCUCAAUCAACAUUUAGGAGUUAUAAUGACUUUGAGGGGUCUUUAGAGUAAUAUAUUCAAUCUCGAUCACCCGUCCUGAGGUGGCAGCUGCAAGCUUCCCAUUCCGCGAUGCUUGUCCACGAGGCAUAGAAUCCAAAACCAAUCUUGCCUUGUGCCUUUUAUAAAUGCCGUGCGUACAGGCAACAUCUCCCAUCUCAAGGGAUUGCGAGACCCGGCUGCUAGCUUCUCCUCUGAAGGAGGACGAAGAGAGCAACAACGGAGGAUGGAAGGGGCAAGGAGACGGAUUCAGUGCAGUAGAAGACGAAGCAGAAGGGCGGUUUCAGGAGCAUGCCCUUCAUCCUAGGUGACAGAUUGACUCCCUCCUUAUGCUUCUACAAAUUUUUGAGCUUCACAAAUGUUCUUAAUGAAUAAACGGGGCCUCGUAAGGAAGUGAUUCAUGUGAUUAGCUAAUUCCCAUCGGUGCUCGUAGCCUAAGAGAGGGAAUUCUUAACUUAUGGCUUCUACUAUUUGCUUCAAAACAUAAACUAGAUCAUGCUAUCUAGAUGUACCAUCUAUGGUUGAUCUAGUGAUUCUUCCAACCCAAAACAAGUUUUGCAACCUAGAGCCAAUCCUAGCAUGAUACUACUCUAGAAAGUAAAACACCCAAGUUGCAAGUAUGAAAUGCGGAAAUGUAAAUGAGUGGGUUAGGAAGAAUGCAAACUCGUCACGAUGAUUUAUCCCAUGGUAUCGGUAGGCAAAUGUCAUCCCUAGUCCAUGAUGGAGCUCCACCAAGGAUAUGCUCCUGGUCACCAAGUCUCUCCCGAUCAAGGUUUUGAACUCGCCACAAAGGCUUGUGCCAAGAUGGAUGAGAAGUUUGCCACUAAGGCAAGGCUCACCACUCCCUCUCUUCCGGUCACCUUGAUGCCGUAUCCACUAUAGAGCUUCUCCAAAAAGGAGGGGGUGUCCUCGUUCCCCGCACAUGGUCGUCGAUGCCGCUCCACACCAAGUUGGAGGGUCGAAGACUUGCUGGCGAGCCACCAACGCUCCAAGGCGCUGGCACACCUUGUACACUUGUGGUUCACACCUUGAACCAAUCACAAGGCAGGCACACCUUGCACUCUCUCCUAUCCUAGCACUAAUCAUUGUUCUAAACUUGUGCUAAGCUUUUGAUUAAUCACUUAUGCACUUUUGGUGGCUUAGAUGUGUUCUUGAUGUGUCUUGCGCUUCAAUGGACUCCUGCACACUCCAGCAACGGCUAGUUAAAGUGUACCAUCAGAUGUUCUGAUGGUAUGUAUUUUUGUAGCAUCAGAAUAAGGGGUGCUACCAUAUGUCCCUCCGUAUUUUGACCAUAACUCACAACUCCAAACUCCGAUUUCGAUGAACUUGUACUUAUUGGAAAGCUUAUGAAGUUCUACAUGAGAUUCUCUAAAAAUCUAGACCAUUCAAUCACUUUUUGAGCACCGGAUGAAUGCUAAAAAAUCCGACGGUACCAUCGGACCUUCCAGUCACCACGUCGCUACUCUUCGUAUUUUGGUCAUAACUUUUUACUUCGAACUCUGUUUUUGAUGAUCUUGUACUUGUUGGGAAGCUUAUGAAAUUCUACACACGAUUCUCAAAAAUCCAGACCUUGUGAUCAACGUUUGGCAUUGGAUGAAUGACCUAAAAGUUUGACGCAUACAAAUUUUCAAGCGUCGAACCUUUUGGUGCCCACCUCAUCCAUUUGUCAACCUCUGGAGAUUUUGACAAAGUAAAUAUGCAAACUCCGAUGGUAGCAUCGUAUGAUCCGGUGCAUGCCCUUAUAUGUUCAUCAAAUCAUCCGUUGAGUGUAUUUCAGUAAGCACCGGAUGUUCCUCUGCUUAGUCCGAUGGUACUAUCGGAACUUCCUGUGCCCAUUUUUCAGCACAUCUUAUUUUGGGCAUAACUUUCUACUUCGGAGUUCGAUUUUAAUGAUCUUGGACUCUAUGGAAAGCUUGUGAAGUACUAUACAUGAUUCUGUAAAUCCAAGCCAUUUGAUAAGCUCAAAAACAAUUAUCCAUGGGACAAGUCCAAUUCAUUCCUCUCUUUGUCCCGACUUCGGUAUCUUUCUUUGUGAUGCAUCCAUGGAACCUAUGAAACCUUAAAAGUGCUCAUUCUUGAUACACAUGUUAGUCCCAAUGAUAAUAUUGUUAUUCAAUCACCAAAAUCACAAUCAUGGCCUAGAGGACCAUUUUUCUUACAAUCUCCCUCAUUUUGGUGAUUGGUGACAACACAAUCAAAGCAAGCAUAAAUUUGUAAGAAUUGAUCAAUUGAACCACUUACAAUUGUUUGGAUGCUUACCAUCAUCCAACUUGUACUUGAUCUCCCCCUUGUUCAUUCUCAUCUUGCUUCACUUCUCUCCCCCUUUAUAUAUUUCUCUCUCUUUCUUGAAUUUCUCCCCCUAUGCAUGUUCACUUCCAUGCCUUACUUGCUUUGUUUCCACACUUUUCCCCCUUUGGAAUCAAAUCACCUAAAAGGUAAUUCCAAAUACUUGCAAUCCAAAAAGACCUUGUGAACAUAGCUCGAGGGAAAAUGUUAGUAGCCUAGGGAGAUAGUUCCAUGAACCAUGAUCCAUAUGAGAUGAUACCAAUGAAGAUACCACUUGUAAGACUAUUAGGAUGGAUCAACAAUUCAUGAAACUAGCAUGUACAAGCAAAGCUCCCCCUAUAUGCGUGCACAACAAGAUAGUGUAAAAAAUAAGUGCACAACUAGAUAUAAGAGCAAAGGAAGCUUAGAGCAUAUCAUGCAUGGAGAUCGCUUAAAAGAUCGAAGGGUUUGACAAUGAUACCAUUUGUAAAAGCUUGAGCAUUUGCAUACCUCCGGGGGCAUAUACCUUGAUGGCACCACUUGAAGCAUACCACUUGAUGGCACCACUUGAAAUGAGCCACUUGUAAAUGACAUCACUUAAAAAUGACACCACUUGUAAGAGGCUUAGAGAGAAACACAUGAGGUACCACAAGGAUGGGGAAUGUAUAAGUACAUUGCCUUUGAACUUAUAUAUGAAAUGUAAGCUCGCAAGGACAUGACUCAAUAAGCAUGAAAGCGCUCAUAUUGUUAUUAUCACUCUUAUAGGUUUGUUAGUUCACAUUGAGAGUGAAUAACAUCAUCUAAGUGUGAUGCACCAGAUGGAGAGACUACAUAAGAUAAGCUUGAAAAUAAGUUGGUCUCCAAAAUCACAAACCAUAGGAUGAGCUCCUCCUAAAUGUGUGCAUUUAGUGUUUGAAUCACAAAUUAAUUGUAUGCACAUUAUUUAUGACAACAAAAGGGAAGCUAACCCUAUAGCUUGUGCUCAUGAUACAAAGGAUAACAUAUGAAAGAGCAUGUAUCAUGAAAGAAACAAGUAUAGCUUUCCUACACACAUGUCAAACCAUGUAGGUUGCUCAUGGGUUAGAGAGAGAGAUACACAAGCAACCUACCAUAUGAAAAAUAACUAGGCAUUGCAACAUAUAUCAUAUGAGAACACAAUGCAAUCCUAUACAUGGAAAUGGAGCUACAAUGAUGCUUGAGUUGGGUUCUAGCUGCCAUUACCUUUGAAUGGGGGACUUGGGCACCAUAUGUCCAAUCUUCCAAGCUUGGCUUCUUGACUUGAACCUUCUCAUCUUCUUGUGAGUCAAGCCUCCAAAUCCCCCGUAGCUGAUCAUGGGCUUCACGUGUCCUUUGGAACCCAAACCAUUUGAGGCCCUUUCAUAUUGGUGAUGACUUCCUUAGGCACCCAAAUCGGUCAGUUCCAACCCCACUCCUUCUUCCCAACCUUCUGAGCAACCACCUUGCCAUUGGUCUUCUUCUUGAUGACAUAGGAGUUGCUCUUAGUCUUGUUCUUGCGGUUGAACUUGGUGUAGAUGAGGAAGCUCUUGAUGGUGAAGUUCAUCUUCUUCUCAUCUUUGCUCAUCUUCUUCACUUGGGGGCAUUGAUAGGACUUGUGGCCUUCUUGAUGACAUUUAAAGCAAGUCACGGUUGCUCCCUUCUCAAACUUACUCACCAUGUGAUCAUGGUUAUCUUGAGAAGGUUGAAUGUUACUCUCUUGUCUUGUGGAGUUUCAAAAUUGCCACCUUGUCCUUGCCCUUCAUUUUGGCCAAUUGCCCCAUGAGCCAUUUCACUUCUUGCUUGAGCUCAUCAUUCUUGUUUGCAAUAAGGUCAUCAUAAGAUUCUACAACAACAUUCUCAAAGGAUUUCUUAUUGCAAGGGGGUGAGCUAGAUUCCUCAAUUAAAUCAUUGCAAAAAGUUGAAGCAUCUACCUUAGAGAUGGGAAUUGCAUAAAGGAUAAAUGAUUCAUUUUGCUCCAAGGAAUUCUUAGUUUCAUUAUCAAUUCUCUCAAUUUUAGAUUUGAGCUCUUCAUGCUCCUUGUUAAGCAAGUUGAAUUUGCACAACAAAUUUUCAUAAUUUGUAGCAAGGGUAGCAUGAAGAUGAUUGAGAGCAUUGAAUUGUUUUAAUUGCUUAGAUUGUUUCUUAAGGAUUCCUUUUUUACUCAUGGUUCAACUCAACAAGAUCAUCAAUGGAAGGAGAAUCGGAUUCAUCAUCACUUACAUCGCUUUUCGUACCUCAGGCCAUUACGAAAAAGUGUGGUGAUGAUGAUGAGGGACCUUGCAUGUUGAAGCGAGUGGUGAAGUUCUUGCUUGAUUCAUCAUUUGAGCUACAAGAACUUGAUUCUCCACCACUUAUCCAUUGGACGGCAGUGAAUGCUUCAUGCUUGGGCUUCCUCUCCUUCUUCUUCUUCUUCAUUCUUUUAUGCUUGGUAUUUGUAAUCUUUAUUUGUUGAUGAUGACAUCCAUCUCUCAAGUGUACCAUGUACCCGAACAUGUUGAUCUUCUUCACAUACUUGAAGACCUUCUUGGCAUAAGCUUCAACCAUGGAUUUGGUUUCUUCAUCACUUGAGGAGCUUUCAUCAUCAUCAUCUUCUUUUUCUUCACUUGAGUUUUCACGAAUGGCCAUCUUCCUCAACUUCUUCUCUUGAUUGCUUGCCUGGGCAAGGCUUCAGGUUGGAGAAGAUGAUUCUUGGUUUUGCUCUUUGGACUUGACCAAUAGUCGCAUCUCGAAUGUCGUGAUCUUGUUUAGGACUUUGUUUGGGGUGAAGUUGGUGAGCUUCUUCUCAUAGAUGAUAGAUUUCACCAAAUUAUAGUCCGACCUCCGAAGGCUAUGGAGGAUCUUACGAUUGAGGUCCGCAUCUCCAAUCUUCUUCACACCUAAAGAAUUGAUCUCAUUCACAAGAAUAUUUAGACGUGAAUAUAUAGUCUCGGCAUUCUCAUUUUCAAGUUGCUUAAAGCUAUUGAGCUUUUCAAUGAGAACAUCAUAUUUUUCAUUUGACACAUCCUCCAUGCCCUCAUUGUUCUCUUUGAUAGUCAUCCAUAGCUUGUUAGCAUUUUCACAAGUAAACACAGAAAACACUUUCACUAAGUGAGGAUAAAAUAAUGCUCUUGGAAAUCACAUCAUGUUAUUUUUCUUAUUGCCCAUUAUUUUUCACACCCUCACUAGUGACUCUUCAAACAUUAAGGCCCGUUGCUUGAAGAAAUGCUUCCAUGAGAACUUUCCAACGUUGGUAAACCAUGCCAUCAAAACGUGGAGCCAAACUUGUUGAAUCCAUCCCUUAACCCUAUCGAGCUAACUCACUAGGCGCUGAAGCCUAACUAUUUCCAUUGAACUGGUUUCACAAUUUGCCAAUAGAAUUGAUGAUUCUUUGUGAAAGAUGUGAGCCCUAGCUCUGAUACCACUUGUAAGGAAUCAGUGCUCGUAGCCUAAGAGGGAGAGGGGGUGAAUUAGGCAAAUUUAAAAUCCUUAAUGUAUGGCUUCAACUAUUUGCUUCAAAACAUAAACUAGAUCAUGCUAUCUAGAUGUGCAAUCUAUUGUUGAUCUAUUGAUUCUUUCCACCCAAAACAAGUUUUGCAACCUAGAGUCAAUCCUAGCAAGAUACUAAUCUAGAAAGUAAAGCACUCAAGUUGCAAGUAUGAAAUGUGGAAACGUAAAUGAGUGGGUUAGGAAGAAUGAAAACUCGGCAUGAUGAUUUAUCUCGCGGUAUCAAUAUGCAAAUGCCACCCCUAGUCCACGUUGGAACUCCACCAAGGAUAUGCUCCCGGUCAUCAAGUCUCUCCCGGUCAAGGAUUUGGACUCGCCACAAAGGCUUGUGCCAAGACGGAUGAGAAGUUUGCCACUAAGGCAAGGCUCACCACUCCCUCUCUAUUGGAGGUAUGCCCUAGAGGCAAUCAUAGAGAUGAUGAUAUUCCAUUGUGUUCAUGUUUUAUAUUGUGUUCCUUGAAUAUCCAUUAAAUGCUGCUUGAAUUGAUUUGCAAUUAUGUAAAUUGUGUGUGAAACUCUUUACUUGUAUGUUUAUUCUAAAAGUUGUCCCUAGUCGGAGUUCAUUUGAGGACACACAUGAAUAUUAGACUAGCACAUGUAUUAGUUAAUAACUAUGUUUCAUAAGUCAUGGACAUGGAGAUGUCAAACUAAUAAUGUGGGCACGUGUAGAGACAUGUGCUAGGACUGACCCAACACGAGUUACAUAGUUCUCUCUUUACACAAUGUGUACGCUUUGUCCUUAGACCGGAGAUUAUCGCAUGUACUCAAGAUGUGGAUCGACUUACUUAGGGGCUAUCGAACGCUACAUCGUAACUGGGUAGUUAUAAAGGUAGCUUUCGGGUUUGUCAAGAACUAUGCUAUGAGGCAUGGUCAGUCAAGAUGGAAUUUGCCCCUCUCUAUUUGAGAGAGAUAUCUCUGGGUCCCCUUGAGUGAUCGGAUCUGAAAAUGUAUGGCCAUGCUACGUGAGGUUAAGAAUUAACCUAGAAAGGGAUUCCGAAUCACAGCAUCGAGAAAGAGUGGUCGACUUGGAGCUAGACCGAAUAUCGUGAGGCAAAGGGAAGAGCAUGUAUGUGAUGUUGUGAUGGUUCGUCUGAUAUGAUCUUUGUGUGCGUAUAGGAGUUAGUAUGGCCGAGUAGGAGUACUCGGGCCAUGUGUAUACAUAUAUGAACCUGUAGGGUCACACACUUAAAGGGUUGGAAGUCCAAUUCGGAUGUGAUAUGAAUUGGACCAGGUUUAGUAGUACUUAUGGGCCUCGGACCCAGAGGCCCGUUAGGAACCCCUAUAUAUUGAGGGGUGGGGGCACCCUAGGGUCAAAUCCUUUUCGCACCAGCAGCAGCCACGCAUCCCAUGCCCUCACCUUGUUGCAACUCAAGGACCUAGCAAUCCGACUUGCGACGCUUCCUCCCGCAUGUGUGGAUACCUUGGAGGUGUUGCAUCUACAGCACUUGGAUGAGCCGCUGCACGAGAGCUCCGACAAGGAACUUGAUGAGUCGAUGACGAGCCAACAACGAGCCUGACGAGCCGCGGCAUGAGGAGGGAGUUGCUGCACGUGGACGAGCUGCUGAGGAGCUGCUCAACGUCGACGUGUUCGUCUACAUUACGUCGACGUGUGAUCAACUUCGUUGCCCUGACGUGUAUGUACAACUUCCGCACUUGUGCGUCGAGUGGUAAUCCCGUGAUCUAUAAUGACAGUUUUUUUCUUGGUUUACGUGGUAGAAAUUUUUGUUUUGCGCUAGCGUAGCCUACCUCGUAUCCCAAUACUCUCUUCCAGUUACCAUGACACCGUAUUCAUUACAGAGCUUCUCCACGAAGGAAGGGGGUCUCCUCGUCCCCCGCACACGGUCGUUGACGCUGCUCCAUACCAAGUUGGAGGGUUGAAGACUUGCCGGCGAGCCACCAAGGCUCCAAGGUACCGGCACACCUUGCACACUUGUGGUUCACUCCUUGAACCGAUCACAAGGCAGGCACACCUUACACUCUCUUCUCUCUAGGCCUAUCCUAGCACUAAUCACUCUUCUAAACUUGUGCUAAGCCUUUAAUCAAUCAUUUAUACACUUUUGGUGGCUUGGAUGUGUCCUUGAUGUGUCUUGCACUCCAAUGGACUCCUGCACACUUUAGCAACUUUAAAUGGGCAAGUGGAGGGGGUAUAAAUAGCACAAGACAUCAAAGAGCCGUUAUUCCAACGGUCAGUUAAAGUGUACCAUCGGAUGUUCCGAUGGUAUGUAUUUUUUGGCAUCGGAAUAAGUAGUGCUACCGUAUGCCCCUCCAUAUUUUGGCCAUAACUUCCAUCUUCAAACUUCGAUUUUGAUGAACUUGUACUUGUUGGAAAGCUUAUGAAAUUUUACACAAGAUUCUAUAAAAAUCCAGACCACUCAAUCACUUUUUGAGCACUAGAUGAAUGCUAAAAAUUCAGACGGUACCGUCGGACCUUCCGGUCACCACGUCGCUAGUCUUCAUAUUUUGGUCAUAGUUUUUACUCCGAACUCCAUUUUUGAUGAUUUUAUACUUGUAGGAAAGCUUAUGAAAUUAUACACUUGAUUCUAGAAAAAAUCCAGACCUUUUGAUCAACUUUUAGCAUUGGGUGAAUGACCUAAAAGUCUGACGCAUGCAUAUUUUCAAGCGUCGAACCUUCCAGUGCUCCCCUCACCCAUUUGUCAACCUCUCUGGAGAUUUUGACAAAAUAAAUAUGCAAACUCCGAUGGUAGCAUUGGAUGAUCCGAUGCAUGCUCUUGUAUAUUCAUCAAAUCAUCCAUUAAGUGUAUUUUUGUAAGCACCGGAUGUUCCUGUUUUUAGUUUGGUGGUACCAUUGGAACUUCCGGUGCCUAUUUUUCAGCACAUAUUAUUUUGGGCAUAACUUUCUACUCCGGAAUUCAAUUUUUAUGAUUUUGGACUCUAUGGAAAGCUUGUGAAGUAUUAUACAUGAUUCUAUAAAAAUCCAAGCCAUUUGAUCAACUCAAAAAUAAUUAUUCAUGGGACAAGUCUAAUUCAUUCCUCUUUUUGUCCCAGCUUUGGUAUCUUUGUUUGUGAUGCAUCUAUGAAACCUAUAAAAUCCUAAAAGUGCUUAUUCUUGAUACACAUAUUAGUUCCAAUGAUAAUAUUAUCAUUCAAUAAUGAAAAUCACAAUCAUGACCUAUACGACCAUUUUUCUUGCAUCCCGGCCUUAGAUUCCUUGUGUUACUCCAUCCGUUCUCUGUUUCUCGAGCUGGGUGCCUGCAGAUGUGGUUUUCCCAAACUCUUUUCCUUCACGGGUCAUGCUGUGAAAUAAUAACUUAACAUGCUGAUAAGAUAUUAGGCGCAUCUCGGAUGUAGAGAUUAAUAAUGAUAUCACUGCUGCAGUCUGUCAACUUAACUUUGGAGUGCAAAUUUGUAACAAAGAAAAACAUGCCUUAUCCCUGGGGAAAUAAAUGCUUAAAAACCUUUCUAGGAGAUCAAGGAGGCGAUAUUGUAUAACCACGUAUACUUUCGAGGUCAAACUUUAUGUUACAUAUGAAAUUGGCAGAUAGAAAAGAGAAAGACAAAAUGAUCUUGGAUGAAUAUGUCCCGUGCUUAGGUGCCUAGACACAUAAUCUUAAACUAAGUCACACACAUUUUGAAAGCUUAUCCAAUAUGAAAAAAAGGCAUUUAGCUGUGUUCUUUUUAGAAAACAAAUAGGAAAAUCUUGGUCCAAUAACCACUAAACAAAAUGAAGGUAUUGAUUAUUAAACCAAUUCAAAUCAAGAAGUACUUCGCAAGAUAUCAAAUCAAGGAGUACUCAUAUAUGCGUGACAUUUCCCACCAUGUCUUUACACUACGACAGCGAACGACUUCUGCGACCGGCUUGCCAAUGUCGGGUUCAGCUCGAACCUGAUCUCAUACCUCACCCUCCAGCUGCACCUGCCGCUCGUCGAGGCCUCCAACAUCAUCACCAAUUUCAAUGGCACCGCCAACUUCACCCCUCUCAUCGGCGGUCUCAUCGCCGACUCCUUCGCCGGUCGCUUCUGGACCAUCACGUUCGGCUCCGUCAUGUACCAGCUCGGCAUGGUCUUCCUCACCCUCUCCGCCGUGGUCCCCUCGCUCAGCCCGCCGCCCUGCGCCAAGGACGCCACCGACUGCCCGCGCGCGUCGUCCUCCCAGGUCACCGUUCUCUACCUGUCGCUGCUCUGCACGUCCAUCGGCACCGGCGGCACGCGCCUCUGCAUCAUGGCGUUCGGCGCCGACCAGCUCGAGCUGGACGCGCACGGCAGGCCCCGGGAGGCCAAGCCCAAGUGGAGCUUCUUCAACAUCUACUUCUUUGGCAUCGAGCUGGCGAAGCUCACCGCCGCGACCGCCGUGGUGUACUUCCAGGAGAAUGUCGGGUGGGGGUGGGGGCUCGGCAUCCCAACCAUCACCAUGCUCGCCGCGGUGAUCGCCUUCGUAUCCGGGUACUCGCUGUACGUCAAGAUGCCGCCCGGCGGAAGCCCCCUGGUCCGGUUGGCGCAGGUCACCGCUGCGGCGUUCAGGAAGCGGAAAGCCGUCGCGCCGGACCCGAGCCUCCUGUACCAGGACAAGGAGCUCGACGCCGGCAUCUCUACCACCGGCCGCCUUCUCCACACCGAUCAACUAAAGUAAGCUAAAUUAAACUCUUAUUACAUGUGUCAACUCAAACGUGAUGAAAAUAAGGGUCGGUUGUUUUGUUUUGUUUGAACGAGCUGACUAGCUAGUAGCUACUUUACUUGUGCAGUUGUGCUCGCUAGGUUCUUUGACAAGGCAUCCAUAGUGACGGCCGGCGACAUGCUGCCGUCCGGCGAACCAAAGCUAUGGCGGCUGUCGACCGUGCACCGCGUCGAGGAGCUCAAGUCGAUCAUGCGCAUGCUGCCGAUCUGGGCGGCCACCAUCCUCCUGAUGACUUCGGGGUCGCACAACGGCAGCUUCGCGAUCCAGCAGGCGCGCACCAUGGACCGCGGCAUCACGCCGCGCUUCAAGAUCCCGCCGGCCUCCAUGCUCAUCUUCACCAACAUCACCAUGCUGCUCACCCUCACCUUCUACGACCGCGUGCUCGUCCGCGUCCUCCGCCGCUACACCUGCCACCCCACCGGCACCACCCACCUCCAGCGCACGGGUGUCGGUAUGACCCUUGCCAUGCUGGCCAACGCGGUGGCCGCGGUCGUGGAGCGGCGGCGCAGGUCCGUGGCCGCCGCGAGCGAGCUGCUGGACGCGCCCAAGGCCACCGUGCCGAUGAGCGUCUUGUGGCUGGUGUCGCAGUACGCCAUCCACGGCGUGGCUGACGCCUUCAUGGACGUCGGCCGCAUGGAGUUCUUGUAUGACCAGGCGCCGGAGAGCUUGCGGAGCACGGCGGCGGCGCUGUACUGGCUGACCAAUUCAGUGGGGAGCUACCUCGGCACGCUGCUGGUUACAAUUGUGCACGACAAGACGCGGCGGAGCGGGCAGUGGCUCCAGGACAACCUCAACCGAGGGAAGCUUGACAACGACUACUGGCUCGUCGUGGCAUUGCAGGUGCUCAACCUCGUUUACAACUUCGUCUGCGUCAAGUACUAUACAUGCAAGCCAUUAGAGACGACCGGGGAUGACAAGGAGGUGGAGCUCGACUGUGUCAGUGGCAAUGGUGAUGAUUACGCCAAGAAGGGUGCAAGUGCAAGCAAGCUUCAGGUAGCUUAGGGUGUACUUCGAUGGCGUCGUUUUCUUCAUACCAUGAAUUGCCGAUAUUUUGUGGAAAUAGUGUUUGCAGAAAUUUUUUCAGAAAUGUACAUGCUUAUGCCCUCAAAUCGCUGUAUGCCUGAUUUGAAUAUGCAAGGUUUAUGUGACAUGUGAGCUUUGUUUAGAAAGGGAUACGAAUUCUUAAGACACAUACAGUUCGAAGUUAAAAAUUGUAGUGCAAAUCAUCUUCCAAACAAGUGCAUCUGCUAUUCUGAGACCAAUCGUCAGGGGACAAGCUUGACAGUGGUACUAAAAUUGCUAGGCUGCACCGGAAGAAUCUUAUCUUACUUACAAGGCUUCUUUUGAAACCUUCGUGUGAAUCCACGUAGGAAUUCUACGUAGACACUCUAGAAAAAUAGAGAAAUUCUAGAAAUUCUCUCAAAAAAGCAAAACACGUAACCAUCAAUUCGAUACCUCAAAUCAUCAUAUCAUAUCUUACUAAUUAGAGGCUUCUUUUGAAGUCUUCACGUAAAGCCACCAAGGAAUAUUUUGUGGACGCUCUAGAAAAAGAGAAAAAUCCUAGAAAAUCUAAAAAAAACAAAACAUCUAGCCAUCAAUUCGUUACCUCAAAUCAUCAUAGUCAUUGGAUCUAUUAUACUUUCUAAAAACCUACCCACCUAUGCUAUUAUAAAAUUAGUCUAAAGUAACCCCUAAAUCUAUAUCUAAAUUAUCCAGUGCUACCAUUAUGAAAAUAGCCAAAAGUAACCUCUAAAUACAUAUAUAUCUAAAUUAUCCACCUCUAUCAUUAUAUAAAAUAAACUUAAGUAACCCGUAAUAUUCCUUUAAAUUAACCACUAACUCCAUAUAAAAAAAUAAUCUCCUAAAUUUGCAUAUAAAUUGCCAACCACUAACAUUAUAAAAAAUAACUUAAAGUCACCCCUUAAAUUUGCAUCAAAAUUACCACAUAUGCUAAUCAUCUACAUACCACAGUGUGGGACUAUGGGUUGCUGAAUUUGGCAGAGAUAUACUGCAAGUAUAAAAUUGGUAUACCGAGAAGAGGCUCGAAGCUAAUGUUGCGCUAAGGAAAUCCCAUGAAUUUGGCCCAUACGCUUCGAAGAAGUUCCCACGAAUGGGCUCAGAGUUAUAAAAUGGUGGAGCCCAUCACAAUCUUCGUCCAGCCAGAUGACAAGCCACGCCACCGACCCGACCCAACCCAUUCCUUACGCAGCUCAAUGGCCACCCCCUUUCCUUCCCCCACUCCAACCACCCUCUCCAUCUCCAAUGCCUUCCAUCCAGCUAUAUGUCUCGUGGCACCACAAGUGUACAAGAAGGCACGGAGGGCCUCCACCACCACCUCAUCCCACCGCUGCUCUUGCUCAUCCUCCUCUCCGAAGCAGCAGUAACCACACAGUAGUGCGAACCCACCACCUCACCAUCGAGAUAGCCUGCUUCUGCUCAUCCGACUCUGACAUGCCCACAAUACCCUGCUGUGAGCGGGUCGUUGCGUCUGUCAACAACGGCAACAGCAUCCCUUACCUCUGCCAUGUGGCGUCGCAGCAUUAGAUCUUCCUCGCCUGCCUCAAUGCCUCCCACAUCAUGUCGCUCUACACCGGCUGUCAAGGACUAUGCACUAAUGGUGCCCACCUUGCCCCCCUAUCUAGGUAAGUAACGCAGUUCUGGAGCUUGGGAGAUGUCUGUGUACCCAACCUGCUUUCUAAUCUUAUUCUCAAAGCCAUUAACGAAUGUUUCCUGCAGGUCCACUACUUUCUAUCAUCACCCUGCGCCCCCAAUCAUACUUCUCCACGAGCAACGAAGAGCAAACAUGUACGAACCUCCCUCACAUAUGCUCCUCUUGUAAUUAUUACUUUGCAAACAUUGGGUGCUUCAAUCAAGGAUGAUGCGAUCAGAUUAAUAUGGGCUUUAAUUGAUUAUGUGAUUCGAUUCAACAAGUAGCUUUGAUUCAAAUCAUGCUCUGUAUUUAGGCAGACUGGUUGAAUUUGAAGCUGGAGUUGAGCGGGAGAAAUCUUUAGUUUAACAAUAGAUGAUAGUGUGAAUAUAGGGAAGUAACAUCAAUGGACAAACUUCAUCUUCUAUUUACUCCAAAAGGCACCAGUAUAUGUUGGCAAAUUCACCAUACACACACGCGACAUUGAAUGACAACCUUCUUAGCUUAUGAGAGGGUGUCCAAUUGUUAGCUUAAACUAGCUAUAAGGUUGCUGAUGUCAUCUAUAGAUUAUCUUAAUCUGAUUUGAACCAAGUCUAGUUGAGAUGAUUUUUGAAGAAUUGCUUUGACUACACCAUCUACUCAUGCAUUUUUCAUCUUUACAUAACUGACACUACUUGCAUAUGAAUUGAUGCAAUAUUGUCAUCAAAACAUGAGAAUUCCAACUCCUAGAUGCUUCGCAAGUGUGCUAGAUCAUGGAGGCAAAAAUUAUUUGUGCUUUGUGGUAGAGACAGAAAACAUGGUGGUCUCAAAAUUAGAUGUGGGUGUGAUUUGGGACUUCUACAAACAGUGUGGGGGAAGACGUUAGUCUACCAAACAAUAGAGGUGACUGCGACCACGUGCCAUCACCACUACCGCCACCCCAGCUGCCUCCACCGCUGCCUUCUCCCAAGAUGCACCAUGCAAUUUUAGGUUGGAUACUUAACGUUUGAUCAUUUGCUGAUCUUGGAUUGCAUAGUGAGCUGAAGUGUGUGAUAGAUUUUUCUACUAUCAUGUAUUGUAGUUGUCAAAUUGGUAAAAAUGGAUAUCUACCAUCAAAACAAAAAAUAUAUGGGUAUUUACCAUCAAAAGAAUCGGACUUGGAUAUUUACCAAGGAAAGGUUACACGUUACAACUUUGUAGCAUUCCGUUGGCUUCCGUUCGUUGGAUUAGUAGUCUUUCUUUUUUUUUACUGAUUAACAGUUGCAGGAUUCCAAUUGUUCCCUUGGCCAAUUCCCUCAUGCCCGCUCCUUGGCCCGGUCCACAGCAGCGACACCCACACGCAUGCGAUGCGUGAAAGGAGCAGGGCAGGCGACCAAUGGUGCGCUCGCCCACAACUUUCCUGGUGGCGCACUCCCCCGCGGCCACUCGGGUCCCAAAUGGUUGUGGCCUCCUCCACCCCCCCCUCCACGGUGUGCAUCUCCCUCCUCUUCUUCCUCCCUUACUUUGAAAGUUAUAAACCCUAGAGUUUUCUUCUCUCUCGUAGUGCUUAGGAAUCGGUCCAAAAUUGAGACAUAUGGAUCCUGCUGAGGUUCUUGAAGAGUAAUAACAUUUUCCUCUCGGUUGAAUCUAUGCAAUUUCUUCCAAUUUGUACCUAAUUUGUUGGUUUGAGAGGGGGAUGGGGUGAACAGAUAGCCUUGAAAAGGGAAUAAAUGAGUGGAUUAGCAUUGAAAUUGUUAUCGAUUGGUCCUUACAUUUGAUCUCCGUUCCAUGUGUUUGUCGUUGUUGUUGCAGUAUUGAUCCGAAGAGUGCAUGUAGAGUAGAGAUCUCUGUCAACUCUUACUUCUCUGUAAGGGAUGGUCGAAAGGAAUAGAGUAAGCUUUGUUGUUGAUUUAGAAGCAUACUCAAUCAUUGAUCUAGAGACAGAUAUUGCUUCUAAAUUUAAAUGGGGUAGCAAUCAGCAGGCAAAUUUCUAGGUUGUAAUAGGGGGUAAUAUGACAUGCAAUUUGGCUUCAGAUGCGCAACUUCUUGACUUGUUAAGGACAUAUAGAGUAUUGAAGUUGUUCAUGGUAGUCGGCACACGUGAACACAAUGUAAGCGAGGAGCAGAUGCCUGCUGCAGUGAACAUUGGAGAAGAGCAGAUGCCAAUUGCUUUGAACAUGGGAGCGGUGAUGCCUGCUGCAUUGAACAUGGUAGAGCAGGUGAUACCUGCUGCAAUGUACAAUGAUUUGGAUGUUUCAGAUGGAGGAUUUGCAUGGGCAGAAGUACUUGAAUAUGGUGAAACAACUGCAGGUCCACCAAUGCAUGAAGAGGAAGAGUAAGAGCACUUCAUCAUUGGUGGGUGCGAUCCUAAUGGACAUGAGCUUGCUGGAGGAGAUGAAGAGUGAAGGUACUUUAAAAGUGUUGAUCAUGUAGUUAUUGAUCCAGUUGAAAAUCUUAAAGUUGAGGUGCAGAAAACAAAGAGGGCAAGACCUAUUCAACAAAUUAGAGACUUUAAUAAUGAAGUUGUUCUUGAUGAUUUUAUUGUGCCUCGCACAUCACAUGAUGAAGAGAAUCCAAUCAUUAAGGUGGGAGACACAAUUGUAGACAAGGAUGCUUUUAUCCACACUAUCAAACAGUAUGCCAUCAGAAAUGAGUUUGAGACUAGGCUUGAACAUAGUAACAGGGAAUGGUACAGGGCAAGGUGCAGAUGAAGAUUGUGAAUGGAGAGUAUUUGCAAAGAAACUACAUGGUGGUAACACAUUCAUGGUCAUUUUUCUUUCUUUUUAACUUCUAUAUUCCCUCACAUAUUUGAAAUUGUGAUUAGAUAAAUGCAUUUCUUUAUACUAUUUUUUUUUUGCUUCUUUCUUUUCAGGUGGCCAAACUCUCGGAAUUGGAUGUGCAUACUUGUUCCAGUACAAGCAAGAUGAAGGGGCGAGAGGCUUCCAUAGCUUGGUGAAAGAUGUUGUAAAAUAAGAUCAUACUUUGGGUGCAAAGAAAUUACAGAAAAGAUUUGAGAAGCACUACAAUAUUCAGUUGUCAUACUAUAAAGUGUGGUAUGGCAGCACGUCUGCAACUACUUGGGAGGAGAGCUUCAAAAUGUUAUGUAGGUUCAAAUCAGCACUAGAAGAUUCAUGUCCAGGAAGCAUUAUUGAGAUUGAUUGCAAGAGAAUUAAUGGGAAAAUGCAUUUCUCCAAGAUGUUUGUAGCUAUUAGAGCUUGUGUUGAUGGAUUUCUGGCUAGGUGCAGACCUUUCCUUGGGGUUGAUUCCACUCACCUAACUAGGAAGUAUAAAGGACAGGUAGCUACAACAAUUUCAAUUGAUGGGCACAAGUUGAUGUAUCCAGUUACAUAUGGGAUAUUUGGCAAAGAGACAAAAUCCAGCCGAGCAUGGUUCAUGGCAUAGCUGAAAAGAGCAGUUUCUUCUAAGAGAUAUAAACUGUUGUUUAUUGUUGUGUUGGCUUCUAAUACAUGAAUGUUAUCUUCUAAAGAGAGCAUCUUCUUAUGUUCAUUCUAUUUACAUUCACUAGUUUUAUAUUUGAUUUUAUUAAAUAUUAAAUCCCUCAUGCAAUAAUCCAAGUAUCAGAACUAGAGGCUCACUACCAUGUUGAUUUAUAUAUAGGUGCCAAGUUUCAUAACUCAUAUUGUCCUACAUACUCCUCAUGUAGAGGCUCACUACCAUGUUGACUUAUACAUGUAGGUACUUAAAUUUGAUAACUGGUUGUAUAAGUCCCUCAUUCACCACUAGAACUCCUAGUCAUGAUAUAUUUCUCUCAAAAAAGUAGUAAAAGCAAAAGCAUGACUUCAAGAUUAAUGAAUACAAACUGGAGACGUGUGUAGGAUUCAAUAUCUAUACACCUACUACGAUAUUGUGGACUGUCCAUGUGGUUAGAUAUGGAUGGAUGAUAUGAUGACCUACUAUUUAAAUAUUUAUUGACAUUUUUUGUUUCAAAAGUAAGAUAAAUUGGGGAAAUAUCUUCGUAUUAGUUAGAUAUAAUUUUCAUAUGUAAUCCAAUUAGAUCUAAUGUUUGGUAACCCAUGUGACAUGUAACGUGGUUUUUUCAUAUGUGAUCCUAUUAACGUUAUUCCCAUACCUGAAAUAACGUGACAUUGGUUCCUAGGGUUUUGUUAUUGCUCCCUUACCUUACAUGCCACAUCAGUAUGCGGCAACAUUAUAUUCACUCCUAAGUCAUCGAAUGGUAAUGCUACAUCAUACUGCAUGGAUCGGAUCGGCUGGAUACAGAUCAUGUCAAGGAGGCAACAAACUAGGCUAGGGUGGUUUCCUCCUUUUUAGCUGCUUGGUGCUUGUUUGUCAUUCAACAUUUAUGCAUAUGUACUAAACAUUUGCUGCUUGGUGAUCCUUUUCCAUUCAACAUUUAUGUAUAUGUACUAAACAUUUAUAUCAAUCAAAUCAUCAUGUGUUUGCUCCAACUAUCCAUGCUUUAAGUGAGAUGUAACUUGUUGUUUUCCUAAAGAAUACGUACUUUCAAUGAGAUGUAUGAUGUUGUUUUCAUAAGACUUAUUAUUGAGCCAAUUGCGCCUAGCAUACAACAAUUUGGUAGGUGGGUGUAAAUUGGUCCUACAACUAUAAGCUGCUCAUUUUGUGUCAACAACUUGUGAAUUGGUAUAUUUAGGGUCCAAAUAUUACUAGCAUGACAACGUACAUGUUAGCCUAUUAGGCCAUAGGGUUAUUGUUAGGUUUAGUCCCACAUCAAAAAUUGAUGGUGGGAGAGCACAAUAUAUAGGUGGGGGCAGCCCUUACCCAUCAGGCUAGUCUUUUGGGUUGAGUUAGGUCCAAGGCCUUAUUGUUGUGGGCUCCAGUGGACCUCGGCCUGAUGGGGUGCCGGCUCAUGGGUAUAGCGAGCUAGGCCAAAAUCAUCCAGGCCAAAGGUUGGAAAACCUGGAACAUCUCCGGGGUCACAUGGUGACGGGGGAGCCUGUGAACAUCUCUGAAGGGUCACACGGUGUUGAUGUGAUUGGAGAGUUGGAUUCGGGGCAUGGGAUAACCUCUUCAGGAGAUCACAUUGGUUGUAUGUGAUGGAAGAGUGGGCCCGAUGUGUGACGGAGGAGAUUGUUAGGUUUAGUCCCCCAUCGAAAAUUGAUAGUGGGGGAGCACAACAUAUAGGUGGGGCCAUCCCUCACCCAUUAGGCUAGUCUUUUGGGUUGAGUUAGGCCCAGGCCUUGUUGUUGUGAGCUCCGAUGGACCUAAGCCUGGUGGGACACCAGCUCAUGGGUAUAGUGGGUCAGGCCGGGAUUCCGCUGCACACUCUAAUAGUUAUGGUGAGUUUACGGCACAAACCUUGCGCUUGAGGCUAGUGGUCAACAAUUUAGCACUGUAAAUUAGUAGGUCUAAUGUUAAGGAUUGAGAUGUCGCCUAUAGGAGAUGAAUAGGAAAAUUCCUGCAAUUAAAAAACUUAUGGUUUUGUGCAGGAGACCCAACAAAAUAUGCACAAGCCCCUUUCUGAGUUUUAACCCAAAACAAACUUAAAGAUAAGCUUAUGUACAUGUUUUUUUAGUAGGUUCACUAGGUCCUUGCAUACACAAGACAAGCAUACUCAAGUAGAUGGAAGCGAAAGUUCGAGUAAUGAAUAGAAAUGAACAAAUAAGGCAAACCAAAUUGAACACUACACAAACUUUACAAUUCCAUUAAGGAAGCUUAUAGCGAACCAAGGGUCAAGCUAUGUCUUGAAUCCACUAGUUGACCUUUUUUCCUUGUGUAGGAAAGAUCGUAUACCUCACAAACUUGCCCACGGCUUACCACAAGCUUGGGAGCUUGCUAGGUGAUGUCUAGCCAUCUAGGAGGCUUCACCUCCAAGAGUGAAAAUGCUUAAUGGGUUGCUUGUCUUCAACCACAAGACCUCAAGGCUUUAUAGAACAUAAUCUCUCUCCCAGCCUAACUCAAAUAUUUCACUCAAAUCACAUAAGUCUCACACAGAGAGGUUGGGAGAGCCCCACUAGUGUUAUAAAGAGUCUAGGAUGAGCAAGAACCAAAAACAACCACCCAUCCACCAAAGAAGGGACCAAGGAGUAUUUCAAGACAGCAAACUAAUCAUUGGAAGUCAACAAAAUUAGCCACACCAAUUUCCCAAACCGGCCAGGCUAGUUUUUUAAACCAACUAGCAAUUACCCAAGAAACCCUACUGAAACUGAUCACGCCAAUUUUGGCCAAGUAGCCACAUUUUGUCUCCUAAGAAGGGGUUUACUUGAUGACUAUCUCACAUAGGUCGACUAUCGGCACUUUUGGUGUUGUAAUCCAAAUGUUGCAUCCCUCUUAAUAUUAUGGCAUAUCUAUACUUAAGAUUACAUAAAAAUAGCACUUUGACCACUUGUGCUUGUAUGACUUCAUUUAUGUUGAUACUUGACCAUACCAUUCUCAACCUUAGGGAUUUCAAUAUUGCAUAAAACCUGAGCAUAUCUUGAUAUCCACCUUGAGCUAGUGAUUUAGAACCAUAGUUAAAAAAAACCAAACUGGGACACCGGGAGGACUGGAAAAACCGUGAACACUGGCGACUCUGCCGGUUCGCUCCGAGUAAAAAAUUGGAUCCAAAAGGCAUAUUAUAUGCCAUAUUGGGCUGAAAGCUGGCCCUAUGGAGCAACUACAAGGUUCUAACUAGAAAGCUCAGUGAAAAUGAGGAGAAAGGUGGAGCGAUCGGGUUUGGACCCUGCCUGGUUACUCCGAAUCCCGCUCUCGUACCAAUAUUGUAUAGAUUCCAAACGUGAAUGGCGAGGGUAUACAUGAACUAUAAUUUUUAGUGAACAACUAUUUGACCGGUAGACCAAAUGGUCAGACCAGUAAACUGGUGAACCACUAGCAUCACCGGUUCAAUCACAGGUGUGGAUUGUUGUUAUAUAUAUGCUUAGAAUCUACCAACAUAUAUGAUCAGUGUCACAGUUUUCAUCCAUAACAUAAACCACUUCAUCAUUUGAUCCCGCAAAGAUUUCAUGCUUUGCAUUGCUUCACUACAUUAGUAUCUCCAAGUACAGUAAAGCAUUCGUCACUUGAACUACCAUUUCUUAGAACCUCGUCGUUAAUCCCUGGUUUCACUUCUUCACCCAAUCUUGCCAACUUGAGUAAACCUUUCUUUGACAUCAAUAAUAAAAAAAUCCACUGGAUUCCAUAACUUCAUUAUUCGAUCAAUCUUUUGAUUUUUUGCUUCGCAAUUUAGUAUUUCAUGACUUGUCAAUAAACCUUCCAAUUUAUGAUACCAUCGACAAAGCAUGAACCCAAGUCUCUUGACCAUGUAUAUUUGCUUGCUACUUUUUCUUCCUUUUGUCAUAUAGGAACUCACAUUUCUUCAAUUAAGGUCAUUAUCUUCAAUUUGAUAUCCCAUGAAUCAACAACAAGGAUUUACACUAUUGGGACCAUCCAAUACACAUAUUACUCUAGAUGAAAUGAUAAUAAUGUUUUCUUUCAUAGUCAUUUAAUUUGCUUGUCGUUCAUUAUUUUGCUUUAUGGAAUCAGACACUUACUUGCAUAUAUCAAUAUGACCCAUCAAAUAAUUGACUAAAUUCAUGGUCAAAGUUUUACCAAACAAGUUUUUGCUUUUAUUGCUUUGUUAUUUAACUCACCAAAACCCCCUUAGCAGCCUAGAUGCACUUUCACAUCUUAAAUCCCUAUCUAAAUUACUCAUCCCUUCCAUUAUUGAAAAUAUCCUAAAGUAACCCCUCAAUUUUCAUCUAAAUUACCCACUUAUGUAAUUAUAAAAAUAAUUUAAAAUAACAUCUUAAAUUGGAUCUAAAUUAUCCACAUUAGAAAUAAGAGCUUUGUUACAAUGCUUUUAAAGUACCGGUACUUGCAGGUACUUUCCUUUCUUAUCCUUCCUACCAAAAAAGAAUUAAAUAGAUUUACACAUAAUUAAAAGGGCAUCAUAGUGUGGCGGAACCACCCAAAUUAACCUGACUAAAAUGCAUUGAAGUCGCCUAACAUGCACUUUAAGCAAGUCAACUUGGUCGACCGUCGGAUUUCAUCCGAUUAACCACAUGAACAGGAAGGUGAGUAGCACAGAGGUUACAACAUUCCAUCACAUAACUUAGUCUCUCGAAUUAUUACAUCAGAGUUCUGAAAUUCAAAAUAAGAUGCAAGGUUCGAAAAGUCAAAUAAAACAAGCGGAAGCUAAACGUCGAUACAUGACAUCACGACGGAGCCGAUCAUGACAUGAAAAAUCCUUCCCUCGCCGUCCGAGGAGGGAUCCCACUCGACUGUCCAGCCCGGAGGGAGCUGGGUAGGCCAGGUGGUACCAGCAACCAAACUAUUGACAUCACCUGAAAAGAUUAAGCCACAACAAGGCUGAGCAACUAAUACUCAGCAAGACUGACCCGUCGGGUGAUAGCUAUUUUCACCAAAACUUAGACAUGAAAGGCUUUCUGGCUUUGGGUUUGCUUUGUCAAAAGCGUCUAUAGUCGGUCCUUACUUUCAAUAUUUUAGCUCAUGUUCUACGUUCUUUAUCCAGUCUAGAUUAGCAACUAUUCUAAGCAAGCAUAGUUUCCAAGCAAUUUAUGACAAGCAUUAACUUAACCUUGUAAUCAUGUUUCAUCGUUACUCAGUGCAGAAUAGCGAUCAAGUAGUCCCAAACUGUGAGAGGCAGACGAAUCGAUUCGAAUUUAUUAACCAUGCAUGGCAAACCUAAUCUCACGACAUCCGCGCACCACGAAGGGUCGCUUCAUUUGUCAGCCGUCCCCAUCGAUCCCUUAGGCUCGUGUCAGGGCCAACUGCCUUUGGCAUGCAAUGCUCCAUAAUCCCGGCCUCUGCCGUACUAUGACCGUACUUGCACCCAUAUGAUGCACCAUGGGAACGACGUUCCAAGGACAGCCGGAGGGUAUGCCACGCCCCAGUUCAAUCAGAUACUAGGCUUCCCCAUCCCAUACUAGGUAUGAGAUUAGUACUUUCAAACACUUGAUCACGAAUGCCCACACGUUUCGACCUUAGAUCAAUUUCAUUUAGACAGACGGGGGAAACCACCAAGCGUCGAACAUAAGCCCAACCCCGUCUGUCGACCUUAUAGUUGCAACAUAAAUAAAACAUUCAACUCCUAUAACUCGCGAGUAACAGGAAAUCACUCGACUUUUACCGGAACCUAUUAAGCAUUGCAACUACUCGACUUUAGCAACUAGUAUUCAGAUCAAGGGACUAAAUUCAUGCAUCUAUGGUUUCAAUCAACUCCUACAAACGUAAAUGCAUAAUCAUAAGCAUCACAAUUGGCAUAAGAGCGAAACAGGGAAUUCAUGCACUGGGGCUUGCCUUCAGGAAAAGUUAGUGGGUCCUCGGGGUCUUGCUCCAAUUCGGGCUCGCCUACGAAGGGGUGAAGCUCCGCAGCGGGGUCUUCUUCCGGUGCCGGGUGGAGCUCGUAAGUUCCGUCGGCGAGAUUUGCUUCUAUACGAUAUGCACAUGCAAACAUUUAGUUGGACUCGCGCGUUUAAACAAUCACACAAGACAAAGCUGAAAACAAGAGUUACAACAGCCAUAACAAGGCGAGGUUUACUUUCUUUUAACUUCAACGGAAGUGGUCGCUUUAAACUUGAGUUCGCGUUGAAUGGCGAUUGUGUACAUAUAUAGUUUCUCGCAUUUUAGAGUUGCAUAAAGAGAGUGAAGGGUCACAUUUGGGUGGUUUGGGUGCAUUAGCAUAGUUACUUACUUCUGAAUGUUUUUAUGUACCUCUUUCGGUUUCCAUUCAUUUAUCGUAUUAGAGUGUGUGCUUUCCUUCUUAUUCUUUUAGGUCGAUUAAUUAACCAAAAAAUGACAUCCUAUUCAAACAGUAGUUAAAGACAUUGAUAGAAUUACCGUAUCUCUUAUAAGCCAUCACUAGGUCACCGUAAAAGUUUGGGGGCCAACGGACGACUUAAAAAGGAGUUAUAUGAAUUUCUUUAUUUAAGGUAAAAUGAACUUAUCUUUUUCUAUCCUUAAAGUUACUGUGCAACAGGGGGUGAAACUUAACCAGUGUAUUAAGGUUAGAUUACAGGAGCAUUGGUGAAUUUUUCAAAAUUUUUGGAGAAGAUUAACUAUUUAGUCUAUUUCCUUUGUAAUUACACAUGCUUAAUGAGGAAGGUGCUCUUCUUUCUGAUUUGCAUAACAAUUUACAUUUUUCUUGCAAACUUCUCAGCAAAACAAAAUUACCCCAACUAGUUUCACAUUUUUCUGAGCUUUGGAACAAUUAUAUGCAAAAAGGAAGAUUUAUACUUAGAUUACCAAUUUUAAGUCAAAACAGUGACUUAAAGUGUUAGAUCAGAGCCCUAACCAUUUUUUUGAGCUUCUACACAUAUAAACAAGCAUCACAGAGUUGGUUUCAUAUUUUUCAUACUUUUUUUCUAUUUACUAGGAUUUAAAAGGCCUAAACCCAGAUUAAAAGAAUAGGAUAUUAUUUACCAUAGUAACAUGCGCAAACUUAUUUCUCUUAGAAACUAGACAGAUCAAGGAUUCCAACAAAAGUUGUUUGGUAUUUUUGUGAUUUUUCUACGAUUUACUGGGCAUUUCCAAAGUUAAAUCUUUUUUCUACCUAUUAUUAAAAGAAAAGUCGUGGCAGACUUGCAAGCUAGCCCCUGGGUUUAAGGUUAAACUACGCAGAGCUCCCUGAGUUUUGCGCCCAGGCCCUUAGAAAGAAUGGGGACGAAGCAAUGCAGUCCCCCGGGGCGCGCGCGGCGGCGGUGGGAAAAUUCCCGGCGGUUCGCCGGCGAUGAUGGGGCAACAACUGGCCAGGAGGGCGCGGGGGCUCACCUGAGCUCGGUUUGGCAGGGUUGGGGUGACGGAGAUGGCCGGCGGGAAGCGUAAUGCGGCGGAGGCAGCGGAGCUCGGCUGGCGGCGGUGCGGGCGGCGUUCCGGCGCACCGGCGACGUCGGGAAGGCGACGAACUGCUCGGAGACGUGCGCGGAGAGGUGACGAAGCGGGCGGCGAAGUCGCCGGAGUGCGGGGUGGUGCGGAGGGGUGAGCUCCAUGGGAGCUCAGCGGCGGCGCAGAGGAGAAAGCAGUGGCGCGUGUGCAGGUGGUGGCAAAGGGGUGGCGUUGUCGGUGAGGGGGGCCCUUUUAUAGGGCCGUGGUGGAGCGGAGGGUCGAGGCGGGGCUCCGGUGGGGGAGGGAUAAGGCCGGGAGCAGCGGGUGCGUGGGCAAGGCGGCCAUUGGCCAGCGGCGCCAUUGGGCAGAGGAGGCGGAGCUCUGGGUGGUCUCCGACGGCGAUUGGCCUUGGGCGACACGCGUCCGGGGCUUCCGGUCUGUCGGGCGGGCGAGGCGGAGGGCUACCGUGGGGCUUGGGCGAGCAGGCGGAGGUGCGGGACGCCGUGGGCGUGGCAGCUUCUCCGGCAGACGGGCGGAACGGGGUUGGCGGAGCAGAGCCGUGGCAGACGGAAGACGACACGCGCGCGGCUGGCGGUUGGCUAGCCCGGCGUUCGCCCCGUCUUGUCGCAAGCGCGGGUUGGGCGCCGUGGCCCUCGCCCUGUUGCUGUCGCGCCGGUGAUAGGGUGCCGGCGAGCUGCCGGUGGUCGGCGGCCACGCGGCGCGCGGCGCGCGAGCGAACGUGCUCCGACGCGUGGGUGUCGAGGCUCCCUUCGGGCAGCAAGCCCGACCAGCUUUGGGAAGAUCUUUCUCCAGAUUUUUCAACACAACUUCCAAAACUCUUUUAAACAAACUUGGUCAACUCUGGACGUUCUUCAAACUUUGUUUAAUGUGUCAGUUUAGAUUGUGAAAGAAUUUGAAGAUAUCUCGUGCCAAAGUUUGCUAAAAAUCUGGAAUUUGGCCGGAGAGGUAGGAUUGCAGGGACUUAGCUAUGUUUGAGUCAAUUUUUGGGGAGCUUCCAAGUCGAAUUAGACCAAGGUGUUAUUGAAAGAGUUGCUCUACAAACUGAGGACUUCAACUUUUAUUUAGGGUAUUUCUUGAGCUUAGUUCAGAAAAUUGGAGGAACACCCUGUAACGACCUCGAUUAAAAUCCUUCGCGUUAAUCUUAAUCCGAGUCCCUGAUCACCUGUCUCAGUUUACCAAGCCUAAGUGCUCAACCUCCAGAUCUCGCGACCCCCGUGAUCUGACCCCUCACCGUGUUUCCCCCAGUUCCGACCCCGCCGACCCCCAACCCACCGUCGUAUCUUUCUAAGUCUUCCCACAACGCCUCCCUUCAAUUGAGCCGUGGACCACCAAGACUGACCGGUGGAUCCACGAGAUCUUUCUUCCAGAUCUCCCGCGACAGGCGCACUCGAGUUGCAUGCCCGCUUCAGAGUUCCCUAGCCGCGUGGCUCAACUCCUCCGACGCCCGCCGCUCCGCCUCGUUGCCGGCCACGACCGGAUGGAUUCUCGCGCCCCCUUCCCCAAUCACGGCGGAAGCUCCUCUGCCAUCCUUUCUGCAGCACCUCGCCGCCCGCGCCCAUCAUCACAUCACCAGAUCCCGGCUGCAGAGCCCGAUGCCGCCCAUCUUUUCCGUCACCCUUCCACAGUCGCGCCGCCCCGGUCCUCGCUACGCGAUGAUUCCUCCUCCGCCAACCCAGACUGCGGCAGCGACAGCUCCUUUUCCGCCUUGUCAGAAGCUCCGCCCCGACAAUCUGUUGCUCCAUGCUCGCCCGCGCGACCGCAGCCGUCUGUCUUCUCACCUGUGCACCCUCAUUUCUAGCGCCAUUUCCCCGGUCACUUCCAUCAGAUCCACCGCACGACGACGCCCACCUCCGCCAAAUCUCAACCACCGGCAAACCCGCGCCUGCGCCGCCCUGACAUCGGUGCCCAAUGACCACCGGUGUCAUCCCCGAAGUCCUGCUCCACCGCCCUCGUCGCUCAAUCGUCGUCCCGGCAGAGCACUCCAUCGCUCUUCCCCGGCCUUCGUGCCGCUCCCCCUUCUCUCUUCCGCGCAGCUAUAAAAAGGGAAUGCCGGAGCCCCGCCGGAGUCCCCCUUUGCCAUCGCUGCCCUCCCGCUUGCUCCCUGUUCGUGCUCAUAGCGCCACCGCCUAAGUCUGAGGAACUCUCCUCCCCGCUCAAACACCACCUUUCCCCAAUCCACCAACCACUACUUCCCGUGCUGCAUAAGAGCUUGCUUGUGAUCCACAAGAAGCACCGCCGACGUCGGAAUACCACCGGACAUCCUCGCCGCUGUCCCAAGCCUUAGUCUUUCCACCCAAGCCUGUUCUUUCCCGACCCCAAGCCUCAUCUGUAAGACGAAGGUAAGCUACCGACCCUUUGUUCGCCUCGUCCGACCCCUCCUAUCCGCCCGACCCUGUCUGUUCCGCCGACCUUUCUCCGCCUCACCCGAGGGCUCGGCUGUACCUUUUUCCUUGAACCGAGGGUGUAUGUGUAAAACUUGGGGACUUUUCAGCGUUGAGUCUGAGGACCCCUAGCACAUCUAUUCCUCUAGAUUAAGGGUAAGAUCCUAAGUUCCUCCCCAUCCGACCCUUAUAUCUUGAUCUCCACCGACUCAAUCGAACCUCCCCACCCUCCUGUAAUUUGCCGCAAGUUUCUGGGCUCAAACUUGCAAGUGUUGCUGUUGAAAUAACCGUCUAAAUGCUAACCAAUGCAUUGCAUUCGUGUAGAGCUGCGUCUCGCCGACGGCUUCUACGAGCUGCACCCGGCGCCAGAAGACGAAGGUGUAGCCGAGCUCCUGCCUCCAGAAGCCGAAGCCGCCCAAGCAAACGAGCAGCUUCCCUCCUCCUUGCUCGAAGGCAAGCCCCGGAUGCAUGAAUCCCCUAUGUUUUACCAAACUUGCGCAUGCCUUCUUUAACAUGCUUGUGCAUUUACGUAUAGGAGUUGUUUGGAACCAUAGAUGCAUAACUUAGAUCCCUUGAUCUGAUCACUAGCUGUUGGACCGAGUAGAUGCCUUGCUUAACUAGGAAACGGUAAAAGCCGAAUGAUUCCCUGUCACUCGCGAGUUGUAGGAGUUGGUUGUUUCCUCUUCUGUUGUAACUAUAAGGACGAUGGACGGGGCAGGGUUUUGGGUAACUCUUUGGUGGUCGGCUGAUCGCCCCGUCUGUCUAUAAAACUUGCUAAGGCCCGACAGUGGUGGUGUUCGUGAUCAAGUGUUUGAAAGUACUAAUCUUAUACCUAGUAUGGGAUGGGGAAGCCUAGUACCUGAUUGAACUAGGGCGUGGCUUAUACCCCUGCUGUCCCUGGAACGAGGUUCCCAUGGUGCAUCAUGUGGGUGCAAGUGCGGUCACAGUACGGUAGAGACCGGGACUGUGGAGCAUUGCAUGCCAAGGGAAGUUUGGACCUGACACGCGCCUGGGAAUUGAUGGGGACGGCCGACACGGGAAGCGACCCUUGUGGUGCGCGGAUGUCGUGAGAUUAGGUUCGCCAUGCAUGGUUAAGAAACUCGAAUUGAUUCGUCUGCCUCUCACAGUUUGAGACUGCUUGAUCGCUAUGUCACCCUGAGUAAUUAAACAAAUCUGAUGAUGACAUGGUCUUGAUGAUGAUGUAUGUACCUUGGUUGGUUCUAUGUCUGUUUAGAGUAGAUUGCAAACCUAGACCGGAUAAUGAACUUAGAAUCUGAGCUAAAACUUGAAAGUAGGGAUACGCCUAGCGCUUUUGGCAAACAAACCCCUCAGCCAAAAAAGCCUUGCAUGUCUAGAAGUGGUGGAGUAGCGUACUCUCUGUCGGUUAAGUCUUGUUGAGCUUAGUACCUCAGCCUUGUUGUGGCUCUUCUUUUUCAGGUGAAGUUGCUUCCUCUGAGCCUCCCUCUACUGGCACUUGGCCGCCCCAACUCCCUCCGGGUUGGACGGUUGAGUGGGAUCCCUCCUCGGACGGCGAGGAGAGGGAUCACUGAUGUCCCGGUUGGCCUCACCAGGGAUAUCCGACCCCGACGAAGUAGCUUCCGCGCGUUGUUUUACCUUCUGUUGUUUUUCUUCUGAACCUUGUAAACUCUGAUGUUGUUUUAUGGCCAAACUAAAUGGUUAAUUUGUUAACUCGGUGGACUUGUUGUUUUCUCUGGAACCGCUCACCUUCGUGUGGGUUUGCUAUUCGGUCUUGUUCAAGUGGUUAAAUCGGAUGAAAUCCGACGGCACUUCGUGUUUACUUGGUUAAGGCAUGAGCGUCGCGUAUCAGGCGGCUUAAUCAUGACUAAUCAAGCAAAUCCGAAGUGGAUCCGCCACACCCCUCGCCAAGAGGUGUACUCUGCUUAGUUUUCCGGACUUAGGAUUUUAAGGCAUCAGGGGUGAGUUGACUAUUUUACCUCACUUUGACCGAGGUUUUGAACAGGUUCUGGCCCGAUUUGGACCUGGGUCAGUGUAAUAAAGUUGGAACACACUCGAGUUACUACAACUUUCAUUAAGGUCCUGACUCGAGUUUAGAUAGGAAAUCGUGAGAUAAAAGCUUGCAAAGUUGGAGGAAAACUCGAACUCCAGGACUUAAGAGGUUUUUAGAGUUCUUUAGUAUUCUGAUUUUGAUUGUUGUUUUUAACUUCCUGCCACUCCGAAUUAGUCAAAGUGCCUUGAACAAAAGUUGUUUGAAUUAAAAAGUUUUGCAACUCUUAUUUGGGCAUAAACUUAAGUUUGUAUAUAAAAUUCCAAGUUUUAUUUCAAACUCCAAAAAGAGCUUCUUAGGGUUAUAAUGGUCAUUUCACCUCUUUAAUUAGGGAUUAACUACUGGUUUAUAGUUAAAAGCACUUAAUUUAGGUAGAGUUGUUACACAUAGUAAUUUCUCACUAUUUUGCACAUGAUCCCACCAAAUUGGUACUUCUUGGUACUUCUCUUUAGGUACUUCAUUGUACUUCCUUUGUUUCCGCCAUUCGAUUUCGCCGGAUGAAUAGCUCUCAUUUUUUUCAGGCACUCUAAAAUUUCUCUAGAAUGCAAUGUAACAUAUGUUAUACAUCUUACCUACAACAACCAUUAUCAAAUAUAUACUAAAAUAGAGCAAUAUAGGAUUCUAAAUUAUCUAUUUCUACUAUUAUCAAUGUUUGGUACUUUGGCCAAAAUUCACCUGGUGAAUUUCAUUUCUAGCGGUUACCACUAAUAUAUAUACUAGUAAUUUCAGUUUUUUGUUCGGAUAUAAUUUGUUCAUAUUUUCAAGUUUUAGUAAUUUUUUAAAACUUUUGGCAAAGAUUUUAACCAUUUUUGGUCCGCUUGCUUAUCGACUCCCUCAAAAUUUUGACUGAAAAUGCUAGACCGACGCUAGCCAUAGUUAGUAAAAAUACUAACUUGUAAUGCAUGAUGUGUUUCACCAAGUAGACAACAUGUAUCAAGAAAUUGAUGAGAAUUUUAAUUUCCUUAUUAAACAUUUAGCUCAAACAAAGGGUUGAUGGGCAGUUGUCAAACAUAUAUAGAUAUAAAUGUGUGAUGCAAAGUUUUAAAAAAUGAAAUGUGGAUAAUAAAAUAUAGCACAAUUGCUGACUAAAUCCUACCACAACCAAAUAAAGAUGAGUAUGUGUGUCUAUACGAUAACAGUUAGAAUAUGUAAUAAGGGAGAGAUGAGAAAGAGUAAGACAAGCCAUUUAAUUAUUAGUUAUGUCUUGUAAAAUUACAAGUCCAUGUGGGAGCAUGCCUUGAUGAUGCGUUGGUAGCGAGUCACCGUUAGAGAAAUGCACAUACUUCCUCUGUCCAUAAAUAUAAGUAUUUAUGAAUUUCUCAGAAGUCAAACUUUUUAAACUUUGAUUAUCAAUAGCACGAAAUUCAUAAAGAUUACUAACAUGUAAAUGAUGUUAUGAGAUUCAUCAUGAAAACAACUAUUAUGUAAUGGUUUCUAUUUGAAAUAAUUUAUUUUAUAGAUAAGUAGCAUGUUGAAGAUCGUCUCAAUGCCCUAAAAGGCUUAUAUUUAUGGACAGGAGGGAGUAUGUCACCCGGGUAGAGCAUUAUCCAAUUUUUUUCUAUAUAUUUGGCGGUUGAGCUACUUCUUUAAACUCACGCUACCAUCUUACUAUUACUAAUUGGAGGCUCCUUUUGAAGCCUUCAGGUAAAGCCACCUAGAAUUCCUAGGUGGACACUCUAGAAAAAGAGAGAAAUCCUAUAAAUUCUCACAAAAAGCAAAACAUCUCGCCAUCAAUAUGUAGAAUCAAAUCAUCAUAGCCAUUGGAUUUAUUUUUUUCUCUAAAAAAUUACCCACCUAUGCCAUUAGAAAAACAGCGCUAAAGUAACCCCCUAAAUCUAGAUCUAAAUUACCCACCUCUACCAUUAUAUAAAAUUAACUAAAGUAACCCCGAAUCUUCAUUUUUCUCUAAAAAAUUACCCACCUAUGCCAUUCGAAAAAUAACGCUAAAGUAACCCCCUAAAUCUAGAUCUAAAUUACCCACCUCUGCCAUUAUAUAAAUUAACUAAAGUAACCCCAAAUCUUCAUCAAAAUUACCCACUCAUGCCAUUAUAAAUAAUAUUUUUAAAUAACCACCUAAAUUUGCAACUAAAUUAUCCACCACUAAUACUAAAAAAAACUUAAAGUAAUCCCAUAAAUUUGCAUUUAUAUUACCCACAUAUGCCAUUAUUAAAAAUAACAUGAGGUAACACUACAUUUGAAUCCAAUCACCUUAAUUAAAAAUAUACAACAAUAUAUGAAUCUAAAUCAUCUAUUUCUUACACUAUUCAUAUAUGAUAUAAUAACUAAGGUAUAUACGCAUGAUGUGCGUCACCAUUUAUAAAGAUAUAGAGCAAGUGAUAAGAAUAUAGAUUUCUAUGUUAAAAUUAUAGCUCCAACUUAGGGUCCAUUAAACAAAUUCAAGCACAUACCUGCGAUGCAAAGUGAAAAGUUAAAUAUUAUAAAUAUGGAUGCAAAUAUUAUAGUGUAAUUACUAACUAAAAUCUAUCACAAUUGGAUGAAGAUAAUAAAUAUAUAUCUAUGUAAGUAUUGUGUUCGAAUAUUUAACAAAUGAGAUGUACCUCAUGGUAAAAGUUUCGUAGCAAUGUGGUCUUAUUUUUUUCAUUGGAGACUCUGCAUUAGUUCCCAUGAGACACGCUAGGAAAAAAAAAGAUAAAUCCUAAAAAUUCUCAAAAAAAAUCAAAAACAUCAAACACCAAUCAUGUAAACUCUAAUAAUCAUAGUCAUUGAUCUAUUAUAUUUUCUAAAAAGUUACCCACCACUAUUAUUAUGAAAAUAUUCAAAAUAAACUCCAAUUCUAUAUAUAAAUUACUGAGGUCAGCCAUUAUAAAAAUAAUCUAAAAUAACCAAAUAAUUUUCAUCCAAUUUACCCAUACAUAUCAUUAUAAAGCAUAAUUUAAAUAUCAUUCUAAAUUUGUAUCUAAGUUACCCACGUAUGUUGUUAUUAAAAAUAAUAUAAAGUAACAUCUAAAUCAUGAUCUAAUUAUCUUCGUGUGCAUCAUAUAGAAAUAUCAAAAAGUAAACUAAUAUAUGAUUCUAAAUUACCUAUUUAUAUUAUUGUUAAUAUAGAAAUACUAAGUUAAAGUAUAUACACAUGAUGCGUGUCACCAUUUAGACCAUUUAAUGUAUUUGAGGAAUUGAUGAAAAUAUUGAUUUUUAUGCUAAACACAAUGUAUGGAGGUGUGAUACAAAAUGAAAAAAAAGUGUGAACGUGGAUCAAAACGUUUAUAGAGUAAUUACUAAUUAAAAAUUAAUCACAACUUGAUAAAGAUAAGUACGUAUCUAUAUGAGUAUUAUGUUGAAGUAUUGAAACAAUGAAAGAGUAGUAGGUAAUUUUAAUUAUCAAUUAGGAGUUUAAUUUCUAAAUAAUUUUCAAAUUCAAUAACAUUUAAAAACACUAGCCUGUGCGGGAGCACGGUUGAUGGACUAGUUAUGUUCUAGUCAUUGUCAUGAACUCCUGAUUAGCCACUCAUAAGCAUCUUUGGCCCUUGGCUUCCAUAGUUCCAAAACGUGCAUCAUUCUCCCAACAACAAUUGCCCGGCUUAGUUUUAGUGCUAAUUAGAUUCCUUCCAGCACCGACAGUCUGGUCGCUGGAAAAGCAAUGCCGCCAUGAAGAAGAUUGUCAUCCUAUACCCCACCAUCCUCGCCAGCCACUUCGCCCCCAUGAUGCAGCUCGUUGACGUCCUCCUGGAGGAAGGCUACACCGUCGCGGUCGCGGUCAUCGACAUCACCAUGGAACAAGAUGUUGGAGGUAUGCCCUAGAGGCAAUCAUAGAGAUGAUGAUAUUCCUUUUGUAUCCAUGAUUUGUAUGUUGUGUUCAUUGAAUAUCCAUUGAAGGCUACUUGAAUUGAUUUGCAAUUAUGUGAAUUGUAUGUGAAACUCUUUACUUGUAUGGUUAUUCUAAAGUUGUCCCUAGUCGGAGUUCAUGUGAGGACACACAUGAAUAUUAGACUAGCACAUGUAUUAGUUGAUGACUAUGUUUCACAAGUCAUGGACAUGGAGAUGUUGAACUAAUAAUGUGGACACAUGUGGAGACAUGUGCUAGGACUGACCCAACAUGAGAAGUGGUUCUUUCUUUAAACAACAUAUACGCUUUGUCCUUAGACCUGAGAUUGUCGCAUGUAUUCUAGAUGUGGAUCGACCUACUUAGGGGCUAUCAAACGCUACGCCGUAACAGGGUAGUUAUAAAGGUAGCUUUCGGGUUUGUCAAGAAGCAUGCUAUGAGACAUGGUCAAUCAAGAUGGGAUUUGCCCCUCUCUGAUUGAGAGUGAUAUCUCUGGGCCCCUCGAGUGAUCGGAUCCGAAAAUGCAUGGCCAUGCUACGUACGGUUAAGAGUUAACCUACAAAGAGAUUCCGAAUCACAGGAUCGAGAAAGAGCGGUCGGCUUGUAGCUAGACCAAAUAUCGUGAGGCAAAGGGAAUAGCAUGUAUAUUAUGUUGUGAUGGUUCGUUUGAUAUGAUCUUCGUGUGCGUAUAGGAGUUGGCACGUCUUGCUAGAGGCCGCUGCCGACUAUUGGGCCGAGUAGGAGUACUCGGGCCAUGUCUAUACGUAUCCGAACCCAUAGGGUCACACACUUAAGGGGCUGGAAGCCCAAUUCGGAUCUGAUCCGAGUUGGAUUAGGUUUAGAAGUACUAAUGGGCCUCGGAUCCAGAGGCCUGUCAGGAACCUCUAUAAAUAGAGGGGUGGGGGCGCCCUAGGGUUUACACCUUUUUGGCGAAACACACUUGCCGCGCCUCCCACGCCCUCGCCUGUUGCAACUCGCGGAUCUAGCAAUCCGGCUUGCGACGCUUCCUCCCUGCACGUGUGGAUACCUUGGAGGUGUUGCGCCUGCAGCACUUGGACGAGCCAUCGACGAGCCGCCGACGAGCCACGACGAGCCGACGACGAGCCGCGGCACCGGAGGCGAUCUUGCUGCACGUGGACGAGCUGCUGAGGAGCUGCUGGACGUGAUCGACUACGUACGACUACGUGAUCGUCUUCACUGCACCGACGCAUAUCUACAUCUUCCGCACCAGUAGUGCGUCGAGUGGUAAUCCCGUGAUCCUUAUACGGCAGUUCUUCCUGGUUAUACGCGGUAGAAAUUUUGAUUUGCGCUAGUGUAGCCUACCUCGUAUCCCGACACAAGACGCCACCUUCGCCGCCACCGUCGACCGCGCUGCCUCCUCCAGACGGCUGUCGGUCUCCUUCCACACGCUCCCUCGGAUCAGGGACCCUCCGUCUGUCACCCACGGCGCGUAGGUGCUCCUCUGGUACCUCUGAUACAGAAGUGGUCCAGUCUUCUCGACGUAGGAUCGCUGAACCACAUGUAGUGGUAGAAAGAUAACUAUUGUAUUCUCUGAUCUCCAUGGACUAGCAAGCACAAUCUUGAUCUUGAUAAGUUGCCUUCAAACCCUCAAUUCCCAGCGGAAAAGCAAGCACGACCUUCGGCGGAGCGCCCGACUCCCCCUUCUAUGAUAUGCAUAGGAAGAACAAGCAUGAGACCCUCAUCAUGGAGAAGCACAUAGCUAAAUCAAUUCAUAAUUCGAGUCUAAGGUUACAUGGACGCACACCCCUAACAACUUAUAUAGUACCUAAGGGAACCAAAAACCUAAAAACUGGACUCUCACAAAAUUUGGACUCAAUCUGCCGUCAUCUUCCCUUCUGAUUUGCGGCGCAUACUAAAAGAACCUUGGCUUGGGACUCCAUCCAUCACAUGGGAAAUCAAAUUAGCUUUCCAAAGAGUACUCAAACGUCCAAAACGGACUCCAUACAUAGGAGAUAUGGACAUCUUAAUCCAGGGUUGUCAAGCUAUGACGUGGCAAUCCAAAUUGAAUUCAAAUUUUCCAAUCUUCAAACUUCUUCUUAAUUCCGAACCAAAUUCUUGCCAAACUUGAAGAAUGAAGUCUUUAAAUACCUUCUAAAUUAAUGGUAGAGUCGGAUACGAUAAAUAAGGGCUUCUAGAAUACAGACUCUCCACGUUUUACAAUCCACGCUCGUCAACGUGACAGCCUGCAUAGCCUUAAAUGAAAUUGUCAUAACUCUUGGUACAAAACUCCAAAUCAUGCACCGUUUGAUCAACUGGAAAAAAUACUUGAUAGGCUUUCAAAAUAUCAUCUUCCUUCACCUUAGAACCUUCUGUACUGGUGCGCACACCUCAAGAAAAUUGACGGACAGAACUAAUGACCAAGCAACUUGACCUCUUACUCAUCAACCUCGAACUCUUGAGGCGUUACAACAAGCGCCUCCGCGGAUUCCUCUGCUCCAUGCCUCCCGGUAGUGUCCACGCCUUGGUCGUGGACGUGGUCUCCGUCGACGCGUUCGGGCUCAGGAUCCCCGUCUACACCUUCUACCUCACGAGCACGUCCACGCUCGCCGUGUUCCUCCAGCUUCCUUCCAUCCGCGCGCAAGGCCAGCCAAGCUUCAGAGAGCUAGGAGACGCCCAUCUCAACUUCCAUGGCGUCCCACCCAUGCCGGCUUCUCACCUCAUGUCUAAAAUGCUCGAGGACCCGGAGACCGAGAUAUACAAGGUGGUGAUGAGCCAGCUUUCCAAGCAUGCAUCUUGAGGCCGACGGCAUCCUGGUGAACACAUUCGCUUCGCUGGAGGCUCGAGCUGUGGGAUCACUCCGCGAUUCAUGGUUCCUCCCGGACAGUAAGUGCACGAUACCUCCGGUUUAUUUUAUCGGGCCAUUGGUCGUUGAAUCUGGUGAUGGGGCAAAAGGAAAGCACGAGUGCAUCGCAUGGCUCGACGAGCAGCCAGAGCAAAGCGUCGUGUUCCUCUGCUUCGGAAGCAUGGCUGAGGCCAGGUUCUCAGAAGCCCAGCUCAAGGAGAUCGCUGUUGGACUUGAGAAUUCCGGCCACCGGUUCUUGUGGGUGGUGCGAGCACCGCAUCACGACGAACAGGGAAGGCCGUUGGACCCGCCGAUCCAGAUCUUGAUGUGCUCUUGCCCGAGGGAUUCUUAGAGAGAACCAACGGCCGAGGCCUCGUCGUCAAGCAGUGGGCACUGCAGGUGGACGUGCUCCGUCACAAGGCCACAGGCUUGUUCGUGACGCACUGCGGGUGGAACUCAGUGCUAGAGGGGAUCACGGCAGGCGUGCCGAUGCUCUGCUUGCCGUUGUAUUCAGAGCAGAAGAUGAACAAGGUGUUCAUGGUGGAGGAGGCUGGGAUUGGCGUGGAGGUAGUUGGGUGGCAGCAGGGGCUCGUCAGGUCCGAGGAGGUGGAGGCCAGGUAAGGAUCAUGAUGGAAUCCGAGGAAGGGGAGCGGCUCAGGGCGCGGGUGACAGCGCACAAGGAGGCCGCGACCAUGGCGUGGAAGAACGGCAGCUCGUCGCGUUCUGCGUUCAGCCAGUUCUUGUCGGAUGCGGCGGGCAUUGGGACAGGGAAGACGCGCGUGUAACUGCAUUUUGUUACAAGCACUUUGUUCAUCAGCACAACGGUUACAAUUUGGAAAUCACACUUUUCCUUUGCACUUUACUAGAUGCUAGUACAACUGAUCGCUAGUGCAUGUGCUUCUCGCCAUCUCCCACGGUUCCCACACCUUUCCCUGAUGCCCCAACCUGGCCGUCGCAGGGCUGUACCUGCCAUUCUCCACCUUGCUCCCCACCACCAUCACGAGGCCGUUGCGCCUCGUCGCCGGCGUCAACCUCGAACGUUUUCAAGGUGUAGAAAUGGAAACACACGAUGUAGUAAACAAGAUUGAGCACCAAGAGGAAGGUGACGAGCCAGUAGUAGUAGUCCAGCCUCCCCCUGUUGAUGUUGUCCUGGAGCCACACCCCUUUGCUGGCGCUCUGCACCACCGUGACGAGCACCGUGCCCAGGUAGUUUCCCAGGGAGCCGGCGACCCAGAACAGCGCCGCCGCCGAGCUGCGCAUGCUCUCAGGCGACUGGUCGUACAGGAAUUCCAUGUGCCCCACCGUCGAGAGCGCGUCGCUCAUGCCGUGGAGCGCGUACUGCGGCACCAGCCAGAACACGCUGAUGGGCACGACGGCGUUGGGGCUGUCCAGCAGGCCGUGCUCGGCGGCCACGCUGCGCCGCUUAGUCUCGACGAACGCGCCGGCCAUGACGCCGAGGACGGAGACCGCGAAGCCGGCGCCCAUGCGCUGGAAGUAGGUGAUGCCCGACCGCCGCCCCGUGUGGCGGCGCGCGAGGGGCACGAAGACGCGGUCGUAUAGCCCGAGGCUGACUAGCAUGGUGAGCGUGGUGAAGAUGAUCAUGGUUGCCGGCGGGAUCUGGAAGCUCGGGGUGAGGUGGCGGUCCAUGGUGCGCGCCUGCUGGAUGGCGAAGGUGAAGUUGUGCGACGCGGCCGCGAUGAGCGUGAUGCUGGCCGCCCACAGUGGCAGCAUGCGGACGAUGGACUUGAGCUCCUCCACCCGGUGCACCGUCGACACGCGCCAUAGGUGCGGCUCGCCGGAGUCGGCGACGUCGUCCGUCGUCAGCACGGCCGCUCGGUCCAAGAACCUUCACGUGGGACAAGUACCAGCAGGCAUUAGCAAUUCUAUAAUCUAAGCUCGGAGACGUUGGAGACCAGCCAAAAUAAACAACGAGAGCCACUUGAGCUAAAUGACACAGCGAUGCACAUGGGAGUAUGGGACCAACGACUAGUAAGGAGUCAAUGGCACUUGCCUAAGCUGAUCGGUGUGCAGCAGCCUGCCGUCGGCGGCGAUGGGGGCGUCCAGCUCCUUGUUGUGGUACAGCAAGCCGGCGUCCUCCGGCACGUCUUCCUUCCUCUUCUUGAACGCCGCGACGACAACCUGCAGCAGCCUCUUGAAGGGGCUCCCCUCGGGCUUCACCUUCACGUAGAGCGGGUAGCCGACCACGAACGAGAGCACGGAGAGGAACAUGGCGAUGGCCGGGAUGCCGAACCCCCAGCCCCACCCCACGUUCUCCUGGAUGUACACCACCACCGUGAGCGCCAGCAGCACGGCGAGCCCCAUGCUGAAGAAGUAGAGGUUGAAGUAGCUCCACUUCUGGUCGCCGCCGGGGCGCCUCCCGCGCUGGCCGAACUGGUCGGCGCCGAACGCCACCACGCAGGGACGGAUGCCGCCGCCGCCGAGCGCAGUGAGGAGCAGUGGCAGGUACAGCAUGGCGAGCUGCCCGCCGUUGGCGCGCUGGCACGUCGAGGGCGCCCCGGCGGCGGCGGCGGCACCGCACGGCGCGGGGCGGAGCGCGGGGGCGAGCGCGGACACGACGAGGCCCAGCAUGCCGAGCAGGUACAGCGCGCCGCCCCCCGCGAUGGUCCAGAAUCGGCCGGCGCCGGAGUCGGCGACGAUGGCGCCCAGGACCGGCGUGAACGCCGCCGUGCCGUUGAGGUUGGUGAGCAGGUUGGAGGCCUCCACGAGCGGCAGGUGCAGCUGCUGCGUCAGGUACGUGAUCAGGUUGGCGUUGAAGCCGGCCGUGGCGAAGCGGUCGCAGAUCUCGUUCGCUGCAGGGCAUGAUCGGAGUAGCAUCAGCCGCGGUACAGUCAAAAUUCACAACAAAACACUGACGAAAUGUAUUAUAGAAAGCUGAUUCAUGAAAGUGCGAGUGCCGUGACCGCACCUAGUAUGAACGGCAUUGUCUUGAAGCCGCCCUGCUUCGUCUUCCUCGGCGACCCAUCCUCAUCGGCCGGUGCCGCAGUCGCCAUGAUAGAUGCUAGUCGUCCGUCCUUACUCCUUACUGCCGUACUGGACUAGUUACGGUCUUACGGAUACUGAGAUACAGUACGAAACUGAAGUGGCAGUGGAGGCGCAGGUCAGGGCUAAAAUAAGUAGCAAUCCUCUGGCAGAAUGGGCAAGUGGGCAGUGUAAUCUAGUCCGCGACGACCAACCCGGCGUGCGAACAGCGACGCAACUACCAGAGACAAACGAGCGAACAGUGCAGUGGGGUGCAGCUAAGGCCACCUCCAUCGGUUCUGGACUCCUGGUGACUUCGCCAGCGAACGUGAAGAAGAGAGGAGCAUCGCACGUGGGGCCCGCGCUCUCUAUCCCGUUCUCCCGCCACGCCUGCAAAUCGAUCGGCGAUGAGCGAAGCGCUGGCCGGCUGGUUUUUUCACUGCUCAUCGAUUAAAAAACUCUAUAAACUAACCUCCGCGCUACCGUUGGAGACGCCAACGAGUUCAGAACUAGAAUUCAUAUCCGACAGAUCACAGUUGUUUAGUGAGACUCGCAUUCAGGAAAGUCAAUUCGUCGCCGGUCCAGGACUCCAGGUCCAGCCAACCGAGGGGGACCCCACAAGUAUUUCUAGCAUCAGAUUUACUUCUAACAUAGGCUAGUAGGAUGCCUCUCCAUGCUUAAGAGACUCGCGCAUCUCAUCCAGGGAUGCAGUCGUGACAUUUUCUUUAAAACACCGUCAAUGCUACCCCUCCGUUCCAAAUUAUAGAUCGUUUUAGCAUUUCUACCUACAUAAUUCUUACUAUAUAUUUAGACACAGUGUAUAUAUAGAUAAGUAGUAAAAACUAUAAACCUAAAAUGGUAAAACGAUCUACUUUGGGACGGAGGGAGUAGGUUAUUACAGUGUAAUCAUCGCAGACGCCAUCUGGCAGAUCAAACAGCCACACAUAUAGGCUUACAUAAUCAUACAAAGCACUUCUCGUCAAAUAAUGUGUAUCAAAGUUGAAGUCUCUCCAUUCAUGGACGAACUCCUCACUGGUUCUCGUUCUUGACCGAGAGAAAGAGGAGCGAGAGAAAGGCACCGGAGGGACGAGUGUAAAGUAGUUGGAACUGUGGUUGCUUAUCCCCGCAUAUCACGGGUUGCGUGUUUAUAUAGGGGCCAUGAAUAGAGGAUUACAUGGAUGAGGGUUGUUGAGCCUGGUUCGGUUGCGUGGGAUUACAAGCUUGAGUAUCAAGAAAGAUAUAGAAGAGAAGGUAGGGGCAGAAUUGUCUAUUUACUUGGUCUGGAAAAUGAAAAUGAAAAAGAAAAGAAUUGAAAUAAAUAAAAGGUGAGGAUAUUUCUUGAAUAGAAAGAAUUCACAUGCUAAGGGUUGCAUAUCAAAAAUUUUUGUUCCAAGGUGAGACCAAUUUGGUUGCUAGUUAGCGGGCCGAGCUUGACUUUGCACGCGUGACCAGCGACCCACACACAUCUCCUGGCCCACCUGCCCGCAACACACAACGGCACCUGCUGAGAGAUGACGGGGCGCAAAGCCACAAAAGCGCCCCCGUGCACGACAGCAACCCGGCGCGAUACGGCUAUCCUAUCGCAUUUUCGCACAGAAGCCAGACUGCCAGAGCGAACCAGACGGGACGGAAACACCAGCCAGCUGAGCCCCACGUCCGGAUUUACCCACCACCAGGCCACCACGAUUGCGGCUGCCAGCCCACAACGCGCCUGGACCGAACGGAGAGCGUCCCGGAGUCCUGGUGGGAUGGAAUGGAACUAUGGAAGCAUGGGCGCGGAGGCACGGGAGACCACCGUACCGUACUGCAUUGACUCAUCGUUGUCUCGCUAAGGCCUUGUUGGGCUGGCCUUGUUCGGCUGCAGAGGCAAAAUCCAAAGGUUGAUUAAUUUCUUGCCAGGAUUGGGUGGAUGCCCUUGAUGCCACCCAAUCCCUGUGCGGUUUAAUUCCCGGCUAAUCCCUUUCCUCCAUAUCUUAUUCGGUUAGGUAGGGAUCGGCAGGGAUAGGGAUCAACGAUUAAUUCCAGAACUGCAUUCAAGCUCAGAAGUAGACACAUUAUCAACUGAUAAGAAGUACAAAUGCAUACACAAGGGAUCAGUUCAAAUUCCAGAACUACAAAUGAGGCCAUUUCAUCACUAGUUCUAGCCUCUACCACAAACAAUAAGAGUAUGACCAAUAUAGGAAAAAGAGAAACAAGAACAACCGUACAACAAACAUGUUCAUACAUCAAUCUGAGUUGCAACAUAUAUCAUCUGAAAUAGUCAAACCACAAAGCUGAACUAUCUUGGGGAUCAGCACAGCAACCCAUGCAUACAUAGUCGAAAUAAACAAUAGGUUCAUAACAAGCAUUGGUCCGCCGAACAAACAAACAAAUAUUCCAGCAAGUCUAAAAUCUGAGCAAGAACGAUAGCAGCCUUUCCACAUGAAGCAACCUUCCCACAUAGCAUAACCACCAUUGUCCUGCAGGAUACAAAACACAGAGAAGUAUGAAUUAACAGAGUAUCUUUUCAAAUACUUUUGCAGUAACUGAACAAAGCUAGUUAGGAUAUUUCAGAUUGCUACAGAAGAAAAUACUCAAGCAUUUUAGGAGUUGAAUUUACAUGCAUCUGUACCAAUUAACAGACCACAGCUAGUUCAAUGUUGUAGUUAAAUGAGUGGACAUCCCAAUUGAACCACACAGGAUGCAUGCUGAAAGUGACUGAAUGCAUAAGUAUGAUUGUUCUAAGUAUGAUUGUUAAUGAUACAGCAACAGGUAUGCCACUAUUCUAAUGAACUUUCUCUAUUUUUACCUAUGAUAUUCUUGCCUCAGUUAAGCUUCUACUACUACCCCUAAUACUCUUACUGCAUGUUGACUCCUCGACUUUUGCAGUAACUGAAAUAGAGCUAGUUAGAUAACUAGCUGACUCCCUAACUUUUGCCUCAGUUAGCUCUAUCUAUGAAUUUUUUGGAAGUGAGAUCAAUAGCAUUAUCAGAUUGACAAGGAACAAAAUACUGCAAUAUCUAUGAAUUUACAUGCAUAUGUACCUGCUAAGCAGUCUUUUCAGGAAGUGAGAUCAAUAGCAUAAUCAGAUUGCUAAGGAACAAAAUACUGCAGUAUCUAUGAAAAUACUCAAGAAACAAGUAGGAGAGGAGAGGGGAAGGAAGAGAGCACUACUAGUUAAUGGUACCGGGUCCCAAGAAGUACCUUUAAGAGAUGGUACUAGGUCCUAAGACGGUGGAGGUUGUUCUUCUCCGACUUGAACCAAUGCAAGGAUAAUGUACAAACAAAAAGUAGAAUAUUCAAGAACUUAGCCAGCAGAGGUUAACAGCAGACAAUUUAAGUUUUCUACAAGUAGGACUUAGCUAGCAGCAGUUUAUAGGGUUAAUCUAAAAAAAAUCAUAGGACUGUCUACUAGUAUUUUCUAUGGAAGAAAAUAUCCUUCUGGUAUUCUUUAACGAUAAAUAUUAACCUUACCUUUACUUGCAAAUGGCAUAACAAAAAGUACUAUAGGAUUAGGAUAAUUUAUUUUCUCAAGGAUGGCUAAGCCAUAACAGCAAUAGCAGCCUUUCAAGCAAAGGAAUCAUGACAUAGAUAUCUAGAAACUAGAAAUGACAGGACUUUGAGCUGAUAGUAAUUGGAAGUACAUAUGUAAAUAUCAAGAAUUGAAAUUGAUAGAAGGCCACAGUAAGAGUGCAGUCCGCUGUACCAGGCCCAAGCCAACUGCUACUACUUUUCAUAUAUGUUGACCAUAAAAUAAGGUGUUUGGCAUUCAUGAUCAACUAAAUAUGUAGAGUGGAAAUAAUGGUUUGGCACUCAGACAAAUAAAUUAUACCACACCUUGUAAGGUAGAUAAAAUGAUGCACAAAGUUAAAAAAUUGAUGACAAGUAUUAAAGUCUUCAUCCAAAAAAGGUACCAGUACCGAAUAACAGAAAUCAGGCCAUCAAGAUCAAGGCUUGAUGAUGAUUGCAUAGCCAUCAUUAGCAAUUGCAAACUUGAUUGUUUAUUUAAAAACAUGAUAAUCACUAGUAACAAGGUGUGAUGAUAACAUCUGGAUGAUAAAUAACAUAAGAAUCCCCACUAGUAAAAUAAGGUUCAGAGACGAUAACAAAAAGAUGAUGUUGUCACAAACCAUAGUAACCAGCAAUGCAAGUUCUAACAGUUCGGUCUUGAGACAAGCAUCACCAUCAACAGAUAACACAUUCAAUUCAGUGCAGUGAAAUAACAGUAGAGCACAACAGUUGAUCCAAUAUUUAGGCAAAUCAACAACUGCAUUUUGCGAAUCAAGAAAUGCAAAUCAAGAAUCUUGUGCACACUUGGACUCUUGACAAUUAGAUCUGGGCAUGUGAAUCAAAACCCUAGCAGGCAAGGGAGAGAAGAGGAGAAGGGCGAGGAUGGGUGACUCACUGUUGACGCUCGUUAUUGAUACACUUUUACCCCUAUUUAUCUUCAAUAAUGAUAUGAAUUUAAUACCUAAACUAUCGAUCACACCUAUUAAACCGGUCAUUUUCACAACGUAUUUUGGAGGAUGUUGUGUUUUUGCAGGAAAUUGGGCCUAAAACAUAUUUUUGGAUAAAGCACUCAAUGAGCAUUGAACCAGACAAAGACGAAGGUCAAAGGGCCUAGGAAAGGGCCAGGCUAAUCGGCCUGAUACCCUCAGACACCCCCUGGUGCCCAUCUUUGGCAAGCAACCCUCCAACAUUACUUAGGGGCUAAGUUUAUGAAGAUAUGGCAAGGACCAGCUCGGCAUCAAAGAGGAAUCAGAGAAGAUCAAGCAGAGAUUUGGAAAGUCAUUGAAGAUCAAUCUCAUCCCGAAGCUACCGACGUGCCAGGCCCACAUGCAAGUGAAAAGAACAUUUCAAAGCACCUGAGAAGACUUGGAGAUGAAACAGGACAUGACAAGGCAAAAGGAAGGCCCAGGCCGGCCGAUCGGCCUGGACCCUCCCAAGCCGAUCGGCCUAGGGGUUUCCUUCACCCUCUUGCCUUCCAAUUUUUGCCACGCGACCUCUGGACUAUAAAUACCCCCAAAAACCACCAAGCCCGCAGAUUGGAAACAACGUACUCGAUGUGAAGCAGCAGAGAAGCAAAAGGAGCUUGAGGGACACCACUUCAGAGAGCCGAAGGUCGUGCAGGGGUUAGCGUAGGCGAGCCUGUGCUGGCGUGAUCACCCUGCGAGGAAGAUCACGCUGGAGUUCUGGAGCUAGAAGUCAUCAAGAUCAAGGUAGGAUCUCGGUGGCGAUCUUGUGAUGUACAAUCAUUCAUGAUGAAGUAAUAGAUCUGUUUGUAUUCUUAGCAAUCUAAGUAUUUCCUUCUAUGGUUUUAUGCUCCAUUGGGUUUGCUUGCUUUUCAAUCUAUUAAUCGAUGAUAGAUUGCUUAGGAUGUUGUUGUGGUCGUGGUGAUCGAAUUUGCAUGCCUGAUCUACCAAUGAGUAUAACAUGUUCUUUUGAUCGUACAUUUAAUGUACCUAUGCUGAUAGAAGGGAUCGUGAUGGGAUCUUUCUUGUGUAAGAUAGGGGGUUUCAGAAGCCGGACCAAAGGUGUAGAUUUAAAGAUGCUUUUUACUAAGAUCAUAUAUAUGUUAUUUUGCUAUCUAUGCUUAGAAUUAUAAUAUAUGCAUAGUCUAGGUUGCUCUAGAUUGGUUACCUCUACUAUAUCUGUUAUCUGUCUAUACAUAUUUAGUAGAUUAGAUCUGAAUCACUCAUCAACACCAAGUUCAUCCUAACAAUGCUAGUUAAAAUAGAUCUUAUGCUAUAAAUUUCACGGAUUGAUAAACCUUGGGGAGUACUCUGAGGGAAGAGCUACAACUGAUCUGUGCACUUGCGGUUCACAACUUGGAGUGCUAACAGCCAUCAACACUCACUGGCGAGAAGACAGCCACCAAAGGGGAUGAGUGCUUGAGGGGAGAAGACCGCGUGCCGCCAAUCUGUCGUGCCCCUUGUGGGUAUCCACCGCCACCAUCAGGAGAGGUUGCCGUAGAGGAGACAACCGCCCUCCUGCUGCUUCACCCGCUCCGUCACCGCUGGCCGAAGAUGUCGUGCAGAGCCGCGUGACAUCUCCACGCCACCUCUUGUGCGCAAACCCACAUCGCCUAUCGUGCGGGGGUUCCUUCCACGCCAAUGAGAAGAUGAUUCGUUCCUGGGCUAAGUGCAACAACAUGGCCUAGGAAAAUAGCUAAGGCCCACUCUACACGUUGAAUGGACCACACCUGCUAAUUAACACACUUGUGCUUUCGUCCUCGCUUCGCGCAAAAGGUUGCAACUGGAGUUAACAGCUUCCUACAACCACCUAUUUAAGCUGGUUCGAUUCCCUCUCUGUUUCCGGUUUGGGACUAUCCUCGUGUUGCUACAGUGUUUUUUAGCGCUACAGUGGUUGCGUGCUACCGUAGCCCGAAUUCUACCGUAGCCCGAAUUUGUCCAGCCUAACUGGCCCAUGGGUUGGGAUGUCAAACUGGGUAGGAGAGAAUAGGGGUUUUGGACCUUGAUACGACCUAGACCGGGGUUAAACGAACGUUGAGUUUUUGAUGGGCUGGGAUCCGAACCAGGAUGGGGUGACCUGUGGAUCGGGCCGCAAUCCCGGCCAAUACCGGUGCAAACAAACAAGGCCUAAGAGAGAUCGUGAGCUCAUAAACCGGGUCCAACCGAACCAAGAAGUCCAAGAUGACAAGAACAAGAGACAGGUGUUCUCUAGGUCUCUCCACAGCUUUUCAAUGGUUGUCUUUUUACGGUUAUUUUGUUUCCUUUUUAUUAAUAUAACAGGGCAAUGUUCUUAUCGUCUUUUCGAAAAAAAAGAGAUUGGCGUUGGUCCGGCGCACCAGUCUCGCCUGUGGCACCAUUGCCUUAGUGCGAAAACCUACGGCGACUAUUGGGAAUUUGACUCCGCCAAACAGGAGAAGAGAGGAAACUAAAUGAGAAGAAGUCAUAAUUUAAGGAGAAGUGUGGGAGUGCUUCCGGUGAGUCCCCUCCUCGAGCCUCCAUGGGCCCUUUAUAUAGAAGAGGAGGGGGUGGCAAUUAGCCCCGAGCUCCUUGUACGUACAAAAUUUACAACUAGGCAUUCCAAUCUUUACAUGGGCCGCCCUUCACUCUUAGGUUGGGCCAUUCCGCCAAGUUGUCAUCCUCACUUAAACACGCUACAACAGUUAGAAACUAGUGAGACGAAAGGUGGGGUGACCUGCGGAGCCCUUUUCCCCCAACAGGAAAGUGGCUUGAAAUUGGGAACACAAGCUUUGUCACAGGAACGAAGUCAAGCGAAUCAGCUGCCUUGUCGCACAUUAUUAAAACAGCUUGUCCUAUCCACAUGCCAAGCAAACGAAGUACCCGUUGGUUAGCUUAGCUAGCAGCUGCCUGUACCAAACAACGAAGUUGAUAGUUGCCCAGCAAUGAUAAUCCACAGAUAUUUCUACGAGCAUUCGAAAUCCACUUCGGCGCGUCCAAAAUGGUUAGCUAGCUGCUGGUGCUCCCAACAAAAAGCCCCAGGUUCCGGUUCAAGUAUAAAAAAUAUUUUUGUGAAUUUUUUUAAUCAAUAGUCAAUCGCAAAUAAAGGUGACGAGAGACAUACUAGUUAAGAUAAGCGGCAACGGGGACACGGCAGACCAGACGCCCACAGCACGGGAUGCAGGCCACCGCCUGGUCCAGGCCGUGGAUGCACAGGUGGGCAUGGUGCCCUCUGCGACACAUCCUGCACCCGUCUAGGAGGAAUCGACCGUCGACGACCUCUUCACCAUACCGGCUCUGCCAAUUCUGCAUCAACUGCCGGAACAUCGUCAACGCGUGCGCCGGACCUUUGACAUGUCUUUGGUACGCCGAAGCGCGCGACUAGCUAUGAAGCUGGUUGUGCCAGCCCUACAGCGCGCCCAAUGCAACUUGUGGCGCAAGUUGGGUGUCUCGGACGACGAGCUACGCCCUAUUGAGGAUAUCCAGCAGGAAUACAUGAACUCGCACAAGUGGCCGCUCCCGGACCACAUUAUCGUAGCAAUGACGACCCUCUUUGACCUGGACGAUGAAGAAGCGGAACAGGUGAAUGACAAGCUUCUGCAGCAUGCUGGACAGGCAAUUGAUGACAUCCAGGCUGAGCGUACUCCCUCCCAAGAAUGAGAGCCUCGGUACCUCUGCACCGUUGGAGAACAGUCCUCUUCAUGUAUCCAAUUCUCUUCCCGCACUAUUUUAUGUUUACCCCUCCACGCCCUGUUGGCUGCGACCUUCGGGCUAGGAGCUGCACCAGUCCUACUGGCUUCGACCUUCGGACUUACUGUACGCCGCAUCGACUUCGCCCUGCUGGCUUUGACCUUCGGGCACUGCACCUAUCUGCGCAACGAACGUUAACUACAAACGUCGCUCCGAGAUCCCCCUGCGCUAACACACUCCUAUGCAUGUCUGCCCCAGCUAACUACAUCUACAACGAACGCUACACGACUACCAAUGGCGCCGCAAAAUUUUUAAUAUGCAUAUAGGAAGUUUCGACACUAUCAGGUGGAAUGUGCGAGGACUUAACGCUCCUGCAAGAUGCAUGAUCGUUCACGAAACACUAAAAUCGAUGCCAUGCCAUAUAGCGUGCCUUCCGAAAACUAAACUAAAUCAAAUCGAUGCGGCCCUCGCUUCUUUCCUGGGUGGCUACCGCCUGUCCAACUUCACUUACAAACCGGCGCUAGGCACCAAGUGGGGAAUCCUCAUUCUAUGGGAUGUUAACUACGUUGACCUCAAAGAUAUCCAGAUUGGGCGCUUCUCAAUUACAACAACAGUAUCGGCCAAACAAUGCAACUCCGAAUUCACACUAACAACAGUCUACAGACCAUCAAGGACGGAACUGAAAACAGCUUUCCUACAACACAUACGAAACAUGAAACCUGACACCAACACUAAAUGGCUCAUCUUUGGUGAUUUCAACCUAAUCUACAAGGCAAGUGACAAGAAUAACAGACUGAAUCUCCAACUAAUGCGUCGCUUCCGAAGUACUCUAGCUUUUUGUGGCCUUAAAGAAAUUCACCUACAAAAUCGCAAAUACACGUGGAGCAGUGAAAGGUGCCAACCAACGCUUUCGCGUCUGGACCGCUUCUUCUGCAACGAGGCUUGGGAUCUCGCUUUCGACGAUCACACUCUGCAUGCUCUCUCCUCCUCACACUCCAAUCAUUGCCCCCUGCUGCUAGCAAAACUCUCUGGAUCAUGGAAGCCACGCCCUUUCAAAUUUGAGAACUUUUGAACAAAACUGCCACGCUUCCAAGAGAUACUACAACAGGCAUGGAGUCUACCCACGCAUCAUACAAAACCUUUCCACCGCCUUGGCCACAAGUUAUACUCAACAGCUAUGGCGCUUAGGAGAUGGAGCAGUUCCCUCAUCUUGGAUGCAAAACUAAAACUACAGAUGACACAAGUGGUGAUCCUUCAUCUCGAUGCUACGCAAGACUUUAGACCCCUCUUGGACGCUGAAUUCACUUUGAGAGCCAAACUCAAAAAACGUACUCUAGGCUGGGUGGUAAUUGAGCGAGCAAGGAAACAACAAUCAUCACACAUCAAAAACCUCAGGGAGGGGGAUGCGAAUACGCGAUACUUCCACCUUAAGGUCAAUGCGCGUAGAAGGAAAAAUUUCAUACAACGGCCUGACACGGGAUGGGCCCUCUCACAUCAAGACAAGCAGGACAUUGUGCAUGAACACUUCUCCAACAUAAUGUUGACACCACAGCAUCGCACACGAGACCUGCAUUGGGAUAGCCUGCAACACAGUCAGGUGGACCUAUCCGACCUAGACCGCACUUUCGACGAAAAGGAGAUCCUGCACACCGUCAAACAGCUCCCGCACGAACGCGCACUAGGCCCGGAUGGCUUCACAGGGAUCUUCUUCAAGGCAUGCUGGAACAUCAUCAGAGGAGACCUAAUGGCGGCAGCUAAUGCUUUCUACAACAUUCGCUGCAACAACCUAAAUCUCCUAAACAAAGCAAACAUUGUCCUAAUUCCUAAAAAGGAAGGUGCAGAAACUGUACUGGAGUAUCGGCCAAUCAGCCUCAUCCAUGCAUUUGCAAAAAUCAUCACCAAAGCUCUAGCGCUACGACUAGCCCCGCACAUGAACGCUAUCAUCUCACCUUGCCAGAGUGCCUUCAUCAAGACCAGAAGUAUUCAUGACAACUUCUUAUACGUCAGAAAUAUCACCCGUCAUUUCCACUGAAAUGCGACUCCAGCUCUACUAAUGAAACUAGACAUCUCCAAAGCCUUCGACUCAGUCCGCUGGGACUACCUCAUCAUCUUGCUGCAACACAAAGGCUUCCCUACUCGCUGGAACCAAUGGAUUAUGGUUCUUCUUGCUACCUCAACUUCAAAAGUUCUGCUCAACGGCACGCCCUUGCCAUCGAUCCAGCACGGUAGAGGCCUCAGACAGGGAGACCCCCUGUCACCUCUCCUCUUUGUUCUGGCCAUCGAUCCACUACAGCACAUUAUUGUCCAGGCAACGGAGAGGGGCCUACUCACCAAGCUAGGAGGAAGAGCGGCAAGAUUCAGAGCAUCCUUGUACGCCGACGACGCUUCCAUAUUUGUUAAGCUGACACACAAAGACAUCUCCAACAUGGUGAACAUACUGCAACAGUUCGGAGAAGCCACUGGUCUACGCACGAACCUACACAAGACUCAGACCGCACCCAUAAGCUGCCAAAACAUUGAUCUUGACCAUCUACUCAAUGAACUGCUGGUUGCAAGAUCAACAUUCCCAAUGCGCUACCUUGGUCUUCCCUUAUCAACAAAGCACCUCAGGAAGGUUGAGUUCCAACCACUAAUAGAUAAAGCGGCAGGUAAACUAUCUGCUUGGACCGGACGAAAUCUAACGCAGGCCGGCAGAUUAGCCCUCACGAAAUCGGUCCUCUCCUCACAGCUGGUAUACUUCCUAACGGUUCUCAAGGCAAAUAACGAGGUGCUCCAAGAAUUAUACAAAAUACGCAAAAAAAAA